CUCCUCCUCCCUGACGCGCAGCGCGGUGUUGACUUCGCCCAGCUGCUGCUGAAGGGCGGUGUUGGCUUCUGAAGAAGGAGGGGGAGCGAUGUCAGUCGUCAACAAAGAAGAAAGGUCACCGGGGAGAUCUGGCCCGACUGCUCAGCAGUCGGCCUGAAUCUUGAGGACUACAACCCGCGGGUGCGCCAGCACGCCCCCACAGAGAAAGAAGACUCACCCCGGCUGUCCGACAAGUCGGUGGUCCGCUUGGCCAGCUCCUCGACAUUGGCGUUGAAGGAGGUCACGCGAAGAUUGUGGUAAUCCUGCAUCAAAAUUUCAGAAAAAGUGUUGGUACUUGGAACUCACCGAUUAGAGUUCUAAGCCGCCUGCUCAGCAGCCGGCCCAAAACUCGGGGACUACACCCAGUGGGUGCACUGGCGCGCCCCCACAAAGAAAAACAAGGAAGGAUGUGUACCCGGAUGGCCGUUCGUGAUGCCAGGUAUGCUUUGGUGCACUCCUUGAUGGCGUCACCCUCGGCCCGGAGCUUGGCUUGGACGUCCAAGAGCGCCCGGUUCAACGGGCCCGUCCCGCCUCCCCGCACCCAACCAGUGGGCGCGGCGCUCGACACCUUGGUGUCCGGGAUCGUGGAGCUCGCAGCGCCGGUCUCCAGAGGACGCGGCGCUGAGGCUGCCUUCGCGAGACGGCAGCGCGUUGGCGUACUGACCUCGAGGGCCAGGCCCGUCGCCGCCGCGCCUCUGGUUGGCGGCACUGGCGGGUCCGUCGGUUGUCCGCCUGGCGCGCCUCUGGAGGGUGGCGGUGGCGGCACAAUGACUUCCGGCAUGGCGGUGACGUCGGCGUCCCUCUCCAUGACCGGGUUCUCGUCGCUGACUUCCCCAGUCUGCGCUGUGAACUCCGGUGGCGGCGGCGCGGAGUUCAAGGGGACGACAAACACCACAGACUGGCGGUGUGCGGCUUCCUCUGCGCGCUUCUUCUCCGCAUCGGCAGCCUCGGCCUCCGCCAGCUUCUUCAGAGCGGCGGCCUCCGCCUUGUCGGCUUCCGCCUUCUUCAAGCGGGCGGCUUCCCGCUCCUCACGCGCCUCCCGCGCGUUCCACUCCGUCACCUCCCGGAGGUCGGCGGCGGGAUCAAUCCGCUGGGUGGUGGAGGAGGUCUCCGCCGACUUUACGACGGAGCCGGCGGCUGACUUCUCAAGAGAGAGAGGGGCCCUAAAGCCGGGAAAAUAAAGUGAAGGGAUUUCAGACAGACUUAAUAAAGAAAUGUGAAGGUAAGAAGGGAGGUAGUACUUACGCCGAAAUCAGCUACAGCGUCUUCACCACCUUGCGGAAGCGGUUGGCCUUUGCAGCCGCUUCGUCCCACUUGGUCGCCGUGGCUGAGCCCUUGGGCUUCUUCGGCUGGCUGCCGAACAGGCUCGUCCCGGCCCUGCGCUUCUUGUCGCCGCCUUGAGCGUCCGGCGGGGCUGACAAGCCCGCACCCGGCUGGCCGGCUCCCGGCUGGUGGCGUGGGGCAACCUCCUUGUCAUCAUCAGGCCAGUCCUCAAGACUGGCCCAAGUCUCGGGCCACCUGACGCGCCGCCUCCCCCCUCGGCGUCGUCCUCCGGGGCCACCGCCCCCAAUUCGGGGUCGUCCACAUCGCUCUCUACUCGGUCGGGGAGGAACUCGUGGUCCGGCCCCAUGGUGCCAGCCGCUGGCUGGAGGAGGGGGUUCUGACCAAAGCCAACUGGUCAGAACGAGCAAGACGGACUCGGAAGUAAAGAUGUCAGGAGAAUCGAAGAAAAAGAGAGAAGGAAAACGACUCACCAGAGGCGGAGGGGCAGCACGUGAAUACGGCUCCUUGCCGAACUGCCACUCUUUGUUGAGGUCGCAGCUCGCAAGAUAGUUCACCAUGUAGGCUACCUCCUCGUGAGGCAUCUCCUUGGUGCACAUUCGGCUCGGGUCUCGGUGCCCGCUCAUCUGGCAGAUCAUGUGGGGGCGACUUUGGAGGGGCAGCACUCGGCGCGCCACGAAGGCGGCCAGCAAGUCCGGCCCAUUCAGGCCAUCCGACUGCGCCAGUACUCGAAGCCGCGCAAUGGCGCCGGCUCCCGCAGGUGUCAAUGUCCAGGCCCGGUGCCACCAGUUGGGCUGCCUCCCAGCCGGCGGGCCGGCUAUGUAGGCCGACAGGUUGAUCCAAUCGCCCUCCGCAGAGACGUUCUUCACGUAGAAGUACGACCGCUGCCACAUCUUCACCGACUUGAUCAGCCUGAUGGAGGGAAAUGGGUUGUCGGCCCCCGACCUCCGCACGGCGAUGAACGCGCCGCACUGAGCCGGCACGCCCACGGCUUGGGUGCCGAGCUUGGAGAAGAAGAACUCCCCCCAGAGCUCGAUGGUGGGGAGAACGCCGAUGAAGCCCUCACACAGGGUGACGAAGGCGGAUAGCAGCACCACCGUGUUGGGGGUGAGGUGGUGCGGCUGGAGUCCGUAGAACUCGAGGAAGGAGCGGAAGAAGUUGCUCACCGGCAGGCCCAGGCCGCGCAGGCAGUGCGAGCGAAAGACGACCCGCUUGCCCUCCUGCGGCGCCGGUGAAAUUUCUCCCCUCCGCAUGAGGCGGACCCUCACGAGGUCCUCGCCGGGCAAUCGACGCGUCUUGCGGAGGAAGUCGAUGUGAUCCUCGUGGACCUCCGAACCAUCCUAGGUACCGGAGUGCGCCGUCGGGGGCGUUAUGACGGAGGAAGAGCUCAUCGUGAGCGGACCGCCGCAACGUUCGACGAAGCUUGAGGUACAGAGAGAGAGAGAGAGAAAGAAGGAGAGGAAGCAGUGGGGAGGCGGGACGCGCGUGCUCUGCCGUUUCCCCUCCUCCCCCUACUUACAGCCCAGUGGGCUGCGAAGCCGAGAGGGCGGUUGUGGGAUUUACUGCGCCCACUACCCCGCACCCCCCACGUUUAUCGUGCAAAGUUACUGUGCGCGGUAACUCCGUGGGAACCUCAACCGUCCCCCACGGCCGCAGCGGAUCCGCUCGCGUGCCGAGGCGUGGUAGUGGCGGGCCCCGCCUGCGGACAUGUCCCAUCUCGCUGAUGGGUAGGCAGGCUGGCUCGGCCACUGGUUGGCACGUGGCGGGCGCGAAGUGGGUGGCGGCUAGGAAGCUUAGCUCAUACGCCACUGAGUUCCCGCCAGGGGAUUCAAAAGUAUUUUUGGACGAGUCAAAGUCAGGCGACUCUGACUCCUACCAGUUAGCCCGACAGAGUCAAGCAGAGUCUCCACCUCAAAUAUUCGGAGAAUGAAGCUACUAAGGCUCCUUGGCUGAUUGUCCGCGGCGCCUCAUCAGCUUCGGGGACUACUGUCGGAGUAAUGGGCCAUGGGUAGGCUAACCCGAGGCCCAUAACCUUUCAAGACAUCAGGGCUGACUCCGCCCCUCAAGACAACGGACGGAGAGCCGACUUCAGGAGGGCGGCUGGAGGAACAGCCGGCUGCCCAUAAGCGUCUGAGUCCUACAGAUGAGAUCGAGACCGAGCGACUCCGACUGGCGGCUUCCGGAGUCGCCGACCACGGGAAGUCGGCCCACGACACUAGCAAAGCCCAUGCCCUCAUCAGGGGGAUGGGACAGGGAGUGGCGACAGUGAAGCCCACUCCCUCCCUUUUUCCGGGGGAUGGCCAGGGCAUAGUGCGCUGUACCAGCGGAGAUCUCCGUCUAGCACAGCACUGUUGCCAUGCCAUCCCUGACGCCAGCAACAGUGGGUGGAGUCAUGUACCCACGACGGUCUGACGGUACGAUCCACGGAAGACAGGCCCUACCAGUCAGUGAGAGUCCAGAAGACGGCAACGGCGCCACCAGUCGGACCCGUAGGGAGCCGGCCCGCGGAAGUCGGCAUGCCCCUCCCAUGGGUCCCACGCACCAUUAUCCAGAUGAGACGGGGAGUGACUACAGUAAUUGCCUGCCAGGCGGCAGGACUGUAGCCACGACCCCAUGACCAAGCCUGCAUCAUUAGAGGCACGGCUACAGUGAUCAACAGCCGGCAGGACCCGCUAGCGGCGGGUGCGGCCUGUCGGCUCCGUACCCGACCAGUCGACUGGGCCCACCAAUCGGUGGGCCCCAGCAGUCGGCAGGAGGGCCCGCGGGCGAAGAGACUGACAGCUGGGCCCUACGUCCAUACAGUUUACCAUUGUACCCCUGGGGGUAGGCUUAUAUAAACCCCCCCAGGACACCCAUGCAAGGGGUUCCGAUUCAUUAGAACUAGACCAGACCUUAGAGAAAGGAGAGAGCUAGCCCUGCCUUCUCCUAUCCACAGAUACAGCUCGAGGAGCGCCUUUGUACUCACUUUGCCUUAGUGAUCAUGCGGAGACCCCGCAGAGCAGGACUAGGGGUGUUAUCUCCUAGGAGAGCCCCGAACCUGGGUAAAGUACGACGGCGUUCAUGUCUACGCCUCAUCCCGUUUCCAGGCACCAGCGACGUUCUACUCGCCCCCACCAUGAUAAGCCAUCCAUUGGCAUAUGUCGCACCCAACCCCGACAAAUCAGCAUCAGGGGGCCCACACCCUGUCCAUGAGGGUGCAGGGCGCGCCCCCUGCCUCGUGGGCCCCCUAAGACUCCAUCGACAUAAACUCCAACUCCAUACAUUCACAUUUGGGGAGAGAAAAAAUUAGAAAGAAGGAUUCAUCGCGUUUUACGAUACGGAGCCGCCGCCAAGCCCUAAUCUUCAUUGGGAGGGCUGAUUCGGAGUCCGUUCAGGGCUCCAGAGAGGGGAAUCCGUCGCCAUCGUCAUCAUCAACCUUCCUCCAUCACCAAUUUCAUGAUGCUCACCGCCGUGCAUGAGUAAUCCCAUCGUAGGCUUGCUGGACGGUGAUGGGUUGGAUGAGAUUUAUUCGAUUUAGUUUUGUUAGGGUUUGAUCCCUAGUAACCAUUAUGUUCUAAGAUUGAUGUUGCUAUGACUUUGCUAUGCUUAAUGCUUGUCACUAGGGCUCAAGUGCCAUGAUUUCAGAUCUGAACCUAUUAUGUUUUCAUGAAUAUAUGUGAGUUCUUGAUCCUAUCUUGCAAGUCAAUAGUCACCUACUAUGUGUUAUGAUCCGGCAACCCCGAAGUGACAAUAAUCGGGACCACUUCCGGUGAUGACCGUAGUUUGAGGAGUUCAUGUAUUCACUAAGUGUUAAUUCUUUGGUCCGGUACUCUAUUAAAAGGAGGCCUUAAUAUCCCUUAGUUUCCAAUAGGACCCCGCUACCACGGGAGGGUAGGACAAAAUAUGUCAUGCAAGUUCUUUUCCAUAAGCACGUAUGAAUCUAUUCGGAAGACAUGCCUACGUUACAUUGAUGAACUGGAGCUAGUUUUGUGUCACCCUAUGUUAUAACUGUUGCAUGAGGAAUCGCAUCUGACAUAAUUAUCCAUCAUUGAUCCAAUGCCUACGAGCUUUUCACAUAUUGAUCUUUGCUUAGUUACUUUUUCGUUGCCACUGUUACGAUUGCCACAAAACUUCUACUGUUACUUUUGCCACUGUUACCGUUACUUCCAUACUACUUUGCUACUAAAUACUUUGUUGUGGAUAUUAAGUCUUUCAGGUGUGGUUGAAUUGAAAACUCAACUGCUAAUACUUGAGAAUAUUCUUUGGCUCCCCUUGUGUUGAAUCAAUAAAUUUGGGUUGAAUACUCUACCCUCAAAAACUAUUGCGAUCCCCUAUACUUGUGGGUUAUCAAGACUAUUUUAUGGCGCCAUUGCCGGGGAGCAUAGCUCUAUUCUUUGAGUCACUUGGGAUUUAUAUCUGUUGAUCACUAUGAGGAACUUGAAAGAUGAAAGAACUAAUAUUUUUCCCUCAACUACGAGGGGAGGUAAGGAACUGCCAUCUAGCUCUGCACUUGAUUCUCCUUCUGUUUUGAGUAAACUUGCGACACCUACUCCUGUUAUUGAUUCUGAUAUGUCGCAUGUUAUUGAUGAUGCCACUUCUGCUAUGCAUGAUUCUUAUGAUGAAACUACUUCUAUGCUUGAUAAUACUGUGCCAUUAGGUGAAUUUCUUCAUGAACAACUUGCUAGGGUUGGAGAGAAUGAAAUUAUUGUAACAAAUAAUAUUGAUGAAAGUGAUGAUGAAGAUUCUCCCCCUAGAUAUGAAUUGCCUGAUGUGCCUGAGGGUUAUGUUAUGGAUGAAGAAACUGCUAGAGACCUUUUUGCUUGGAAAGAUAGAUAUGAUCUUAAGAAACUGUUAGCUAAGCUGAAAGAAAGGUCUUUGAAUGCUAGAAUGAAAUAUGACCCUGCUUUUGCUACUUCACCUAUCUGUAUUUUUGAUAAGGAUUAUGAUUUCUCUGUCGAUCCUGAGUUAAUUACUUUGGUUGAAUCUGAUCCUUUUUAUGGCUGUGAAUCUGAAACUGUUGUGGCACAUCUUACUAAAUUGAAUGAUAUAGCCACCCUAUUCACUCAUGAGGAAAAAAUUUGUUACUACUAUAUCCUUAAGUUAUUUCUGUUAUCAUUAAAGGGUGAUGCCAAAACAUGGUUUAAUUCUCUUGCUCCUGGUUGUGUGCGUAGUCCCCAGGAUAUGAUGUAUUACUUCUCUGCUAAACAUUUCCCCGCUCAUAAGAAACAAGGUGCCUUAAGGGAAAUAUAUAAUUUUAUGCAAAUUUAAGAAUAGAGUCUCCCACAAGCUUGGGGGAGGAUUCUCCGAUUACUUAAUGCUUUGCCUAAUCAUCCUCUCAAGAAAAAUGAAAUACUUCAUAUCUUUUAUAAUGGACUAACCGAUGCUUCCAGAGACCACCUGGAUAGUUGUCUUGGUUAUGUUUUUAGGGAAAGAACUGUUGAGCAAGCUGAAUUACUAUUGAAUAAUAUAUUGAGUAAUGAUAAUGAUUGGACACUUCCUGAAACAACUCCUAAGCCAACUCCUAAGAAAAGGGGUAUUCUAUUUCUCAGUCCUGAAGAUAUGCAAGAGGCAAAGAAAUCUAUGAAAGAAAAGGGUAUUAAAGCUGAAGAUGUUAAGAAUUUACCACCUAUUGAAGAAAUACAUGGUCUUAAUAACCCGACACAGGUAGUAAAGGUAAAUUCUCUCUAUAGAUUUGAUGAAGGUGAUAUUCCUCAUAAUAAGUCUGCUAGCCAAUGCUUGGAUGAGUUUGAUAAUUUUAUUGUUAAACAAGAAAACUUCAAUGCUUAUGUUGGUAGACAAUUGAAACGUAAUGCUUAUAUGAUUGAACACUUGAGUGAUUAUACGUCUAGAGUUAAAGGUGACCUUAAACUUAUUAGUAAACAUGCUUCUAUAGUUACCACUCAGGUAGAACAAGUGCUUAAAGCAUAAGAUGAUUUGCUCAAUGAAUUAAAUAAUAAGAAAAAUGAUAAUGUUGUUAGAGUUGUGACUAGAGGGGGUAAAAUGACUCAGGAACCUCUGUAUCCUGAGGGCCACCCUAAGAGAGUUGAGCAAGAUUCUCAGAGAACAAAUGUUGAUGCACUGAGUCCUUCUAAGAAGAAGAAAAGAAAAAUGAUAGGACUUUGCAUGCCUCUAGUGAAUCUGUUGUUGACACACCUGAGAAUCCCAAUGAUAUUUUGUCACAGCCCUAGAAUUUUCUUGUCAUUAGUUGCAUUAAGGCAUUCAUGUCAUCAUGUUAAAUUUCUCAGAAAGUUGAAAUGGGGAUGACAAACCCUAGCACCAAAAAUUAAAUCAAAUAGGGUCAGCCAUAAGCCUUUUCAAUAAACCCAAAAUGCCUUUAAAAAAUGUUCAUCAUUUUUAGAAAGGUUAAAACCUCUGAUAAAAAUGAUGCACAUGUUUCAAGGUCAUUCAUGAAUUUUUGAAUUAAAUCAUAUCAUAUUUGAAUUUGGGCAUUUAAACACUAUAAAUAAUUUAAAUGCUCAAAAUGCUGAAUUUAAAUGUGGACCACUGGAAUAAUCCAUAGAGUGUCCACAAAUUAUUGCAGCAUUUUACAAAAUGCUUUAGUAUUUUUACUAAAGCCAAAACAGCAGCAGAAAAAUAGAAAACAGAAACAAAUAAAAAAGGAAAGCAGAGAGAGAAGCCCACCUGGACCUUACCUGGCGGCCCAAGUGGCCGGCCCAGCCCACCUGGCCCCCUCCCCUGUCGUCUUCCUCCUUUGCCAGGAGGAUGAGCGCGUGGCCGCGGCGCGCUGGCACGCGCCUCGCCAGCUCCUGCUCGCCGUCGAGGGCCUGAACGCCUCCACGAGUGCCACGCGACCUCCCCGACCCCCCUCUCACUUCUCCCUCGCUCUCUGGACCUCCCUUCCCCUCGCUCCUCUGAUUCCCCCCCAUGGCCGAGCAUGCCCGUCGCCGCCGCUCGCUGUUGCCACGGCCACUGGCCCUCCCUCGCCGAUCCAACAUGCUUGGGAGCUCCGCCAUGCCGUCCCCGUAUACCCCACCGAGCCACGUGAGCUGGGAAGCACCACAACACCCUCGACAUCGUCGUCUUCUACCUCGGGCCACCGAGAUCGCCGGCAAUGCCACGACACCGUCCGUGCUUCCCCAAGCCCACUUCGACGCCCCCUACAACCGCUGUGAGCUACCGCUUCGAACCCCUCUCUUCCCCGCCUCGAUUGCACCUUGUAGCCCUCGUUCUCACUGGAACCGAAGCUCGCCGCCGCCGCGCCAUGUUGUCGUCGUGGCUAUAGCCACUGGAGCUUCCACCUGAGUACACUACCGUGCUCAGAAUGACCCCACGAGACCGUAGCCACCAACAUCUCCUCCUCUCAUGCACCGCAACCCCAAACCCGCAACCCACCGUGCUCCGGCCGCCGCCGUUUUAGUCGCCGUCGUUGACUCCUUCCAUCCCCGCUCGAACCACGGCUACCCACGGAUGCGUCUCUCUCCCCUCUUUCAAAUGCGCCCUUCCGCGCGUCGAACGGUGGCCCGUAGAGCAAACCCGAAGCGGGCACCGCUGCGGUCUGUCGUCGCCGGCGGUUAAACCCCGGUGGCUGACGUGGCACCAUCAUUAGGGCCUAAGCACCCUAUUGAUUACCCCCCUGGAGUCAUUGACAACUGGGCCCCACGCGUUAAUUAACCCCGGAAUUUAUUCCCUGUUUAACUUAGACUAAUCCACCGGGCCCACAUGUCAGGUUGACUUUGCUGACGUGGCCUUUGACCGGUCCCACCUGUCAUCCACCCAAACCAGCCUGAGACACUGACGUAUGGGUCCCAUAGGUCAGGUUUGACCUGGCCGACCCAGUUGACCUGCUGACGUCACCCCUAUGUCAUGCUGACGCAGUAAAUGAUUUUCUGGAUUUUAAAACAAUUCAGGAAAUUCCAGAAAAUGACUUAAACUUCAAAAAAUCAUAGAAAUUAAACCAUAACACCAAAUGAAAUAAUUUAUAUAUGAAAAAUUAUCAGAAAAAUUCAAGGAAUCUGUUUAUGGCAUUUUCGUGCAUGUUAGAACAACUUAUGGCUGCUGUUUAGGCCAAUUCACAUAAAUAGAAUUUAAACUCUCACAUAUGGAAUUUGAAUUUGAACCUAGGGUUCAAACCAACUCCAUUUAACAUGUUGCUAGUUGCAUUAGCUCAAACCACAGCAUAUUGACAUGUCAUGAUCAUGCAUCAUAUUGUGCAUUGCAUUGAUUGUGUUUCUUUCUCUGUUGCGGGUAUUUGUCCCCACUCGAUAGACGUUGUACCGACACUGUGAUCGUGACACUGAUGAAGACCCAAUGAUAUCUUCAGAAGUGCCAGGCAAGCAAAACCCCCUUGUUCAUUCCGAUACAAUCCCACUCUCUCGCUCCGGCUCUCAUUUACUGCAUUAGGACAACAACGAUUCAUCUGUUACUUGUUGCGGUAGUUGAACCCCUUAUCCUCUGCAUGACCUGUCAUUGCCACAGUAAAUAGAUGAAACCCACUAGCAUGAGUAGGAGUUGUUUGAGCCCUGAUGUGCCUACUCAUUCAUGCUUGUUUGUCAUGCCUGCUAUUGCAUAGAGUUGUGUCGGGUCAGAUUCAUCGGGGAUGAAUCGGAGGUGUGUGAACAUGUCCUACUGUGUGUGAGCUAAGAGUGUGAACACGAUUUGGUAAAGGUAGCAGUGAGAGACCAUGUAGGAGUACAUGGUGGGUUGUCUCAUUGCAGCCGUCCUCAGGAACUGAGUUCUGUGUCUGUGAUCCAUGAACAGCUACUACCACUCAUUGGGAUCCUUAGUUGACCCUCUCGGCUUCUUAAUCACCCUAGUACUCUGGUGUUUGUAGGUUAUGUGUUGGCGGCCGUGCGUAGCGCUGACCCUAGGGGUGGGCUAUGUUGCGGUAGAUACACCGUGGCACGGUGUACCAGGCGCCCGUUUGGUGUCUCGGGAACCCUGUUCACAUCAUUCGGGGCCGUAUGUGGAAACCUCGGCCGGACUCCCUGCGGAUGGAACCUGGAUAGGCGAUAAACCUGGACUAGAGACUUAAGUGUUUAGGUAGGCCGUGGCCGACACCCUCGUUGGGCUUCCGCUUGAAGGUUGUCGAGUACAUGUCGAGUAAACGACGGUAAGUGGUGGGAGCGUGUGUGAAGAAGUACACCCCUGCAGGGUUAUCAUUAUCUUUUCGAAUAGCCGGAUUCCUCAGAUAUGGAAACUUGGACCCCUUGCAUAGUUCAUAGAUAAGUGAAAGUGGUUACUCUAAAACUCGCAAGAUAAGUGUGAGUGCUAUGGAUGGCCUUCUCGUAGGGAGACGAGAGCGGAUCCAUAGUGGUGUAUUGAAUGGUGAAUAUGUGGACUCGUGUGCGCCACCUCAAAAGAGUUGCUUGUAGUCGUAGUUCAGGUUAGCCAAUGGGUCAAAGCUGGCUUGCUGCAGUUAAACUCCACCACCCCCUUUGUUGAUACCAACGCAUAUGUAGAUAGUUCUGAUGUAAGUCUUGCUGGGUACAUUUGUACUCACGUUUGCUUAUUUUAUGUUUUGCAGAGAGACUUCAGUCUCGCUAGUAGUUCCGCUUGGACUUCGACGUUUAGCUUGUUACCUCAGCUACGAUCUUGUACCCUUGGGAGGGUCUGGUAUAUAGUCAGGCUCCUCAGCCUUCUUCAUUUUUAGUUGUCUGUACUCAGACAAGUUAAGCUUCCGCAUGUGCUUUGACUUGUAUGCUCUGGAUGUUGGGUCAUGAGACCCAUGUUUGUAAUAUCUUGCUCCUCAAAGCCUAGUGAAUAAAUACCUGAGUCGUAGAGUUAUGUUGUGAUGCCAUGUUGUAUUUACACAUAUCGAGCAUAUUGUGUGUAUGAUUGAAAUGCUUGGUAUGUGUGGGAUCCGACAAUCUAGUUGUUUAUCCUUGGCAGCCUCUCUUAUGGGGAAAUGUAGUCUUGUGCUUCCAUGAGCCAUAGUAGUCUGCUACAGCCCGGUUCACCGGAGUCCUGCUAGCCCAGCACUACUGCUCAGGACACUUGACUGACCGGCAUGUGUUUCACUUCGUUCCUGUGUCUGUCCCUUCGGGGAAAUGUCACGCGGUGACAUCCGGAGUCCUGCCUAGCCUGCUACAGCCCGGGUUCCCGGAGUCCUGUUAGCCCAGUGCUAUAGCCCGGAUUCACACGCUGCUGACCGACAUGCUCGAUGUGAUUCAUGUAUGCCUGUCCCCAUAGGUUAGUGCCGCUUUGGGUUCAUGACUAGUCAUGUCGGCCCGGGUUCUCUGUCAUAUGGAUGCUAGCGACACUAUCAUAUACGUGAGCCAAAAGGUGUAAACAGUCCCGGGCCAUGGUAAGGCGACAUCCGUGGGAAUACCGUGCGUGAGGCCGCAAAGUGAUAUGAGGUGUUACCGGCUAGAUCAAUGUGACUUAGAAUCGGGGUCCUGACAGCUUUGGUAUCAGAGCCUGACUGCCUGUAGGAUUACCAAGCCAAGCUAGUCGAAGUCAUGUCUAGAAAUGCUUUAGUUAUGUAAGCGAAUUGAUUGUGGAUGGGAACGUAAGGCUCUUUUACUCCUUAUCCUCAUGACCUUCUGAUCUGAGUCAUCUUAUGUUUUCUACAGGGUUAAGAACUAGGCUUCUCUUCUAUCUCUCAGGAUGACGUGUUACUAAACCGUAGUUUCCUAGGAUUGUUGUGUUCAAACCUCAGUUCAAUUCCUACUACUUCCAUAUGUUCCUAGUUGGUCUCAGAACUUCGAUAUUGUGAUGUUGAGUGGUUAUGCCACCAUUUUUGCAGGAUGUCUCAAAUCUUUUGAGCAUUUACAGCCGUUAUGCUGUCCGAGUCAUCCCAGGUUUCUAAAUAGUUCGAUGCAUUUGCAACUCCCUUCUUCCUGUUCUCGAUGUUCCUUUGGGCCAGAUUAAGCACACUAAUCGGUCUGUUGAGGUACUCCGUUGCCUUGACAUGUAUGUUGGAGUUAGUAUUAUGACCCUAGGUGUCUUCGAGAACCACUCAGUGAUCUAGCAAUGUUUCUGUUCCCAGUGUGAUGAUUCUGGCCACCAUUCUCGAAAACAUCCCAUGAUGCCAUUUAGUAGUAGAUAUUCUACUUCUGGGUUCUUAAGCCCGAGAUUCACCCUACUUGCUUCAUGUUGAUAGUGUUGCUAGUUCCUUUAGGAUAUUAGUAACCUUUGCGAUAGUCCUCGAGGUCCAUGGUAUUUCCUUCUUCCAAAUACCAUGAACCAUUAAGGCAGACGUUCUUUGAACCAAAAGAUCACCAUUAGAGUACUCCUGAGGAGUUCUCCAUUCAUAAUUGUGAUUCUGCCAGCUCUACCUUUCUGCAUGGGUUAUCCGGAAGAAACCUGUUGAACUUGGUUCGACAUACUAAUCUAUGCAUCCACAACUCAGAAAAUUAUAUGUUCCCUUGAGUUGUCCCUCUUUAGUUGUUUUCUGACUCUCGUCUAUCAACUGAUAGUCGGGAGUAAUUGUGCGAUCGUGUUCAUCGAUGCCUGCUAUUCUUGUGGUCCGUCAAGCCAUUCUAUUCCAGAAUGACUAGGAGAAACAAACUCCAGUACCUUAUCCAUAUCUAGGAUUGGGUCAAAGUAGUUGUAUUCCAUGGAUCAAAAUGCCAACCCAGCUUUUGCUCUGUUCUACCUUGGAGUGUUACCAUAUUUAUGUCAAGAAUGUCAUGAGAAUUGCACCACCUCUUAUGAAUUCUUGACGCAAUGAUACUUAUCGCCAUCAUUAUUCAUUCUUCGGUUCCAUGUUGUUGUAACCGGAAUGCCGACAAGUGAACUGUGAUGUGUGAAAUCAAUACUCCUAGCAACCCCGUUGCUUGGUAGUUAAUGGACAAUAAACUCAUUCUUAGCGUGUCGGUUAUUGAAUCAUCAUUCUAAGAUUGAUCGUGCUACCUAGUCCUUAUUUCCGGAGCACUAUUCAAUCAAUGAGUUAGGAUUGUGUCAAACCCUUGCUCUAUUGGUCACAUCGUCUUGCCUCGCAAAGCAAGAUUGUCCUCGAGCUUAAUAACAUAUCGGUGGGUUGUGAUUUUCCAAAUAUCUUCUUGGAAGUAUCACCAGGUUGUCACCUGAUCGCUAUGUUGAGUUCGUGAUCAAGUUGGUUUCUUGUAGCCACCCUUUUCUCCAAGAAUCUGUGUUGGAUACCCCUGAGCUAGUUGGUUAAGCUUAACAACAACUUGGAGAGUUGGAAGAUAAAAGCUUGUCUUGCUUAGUUCGUGUUAAGGGAUAUCUUUUGUGUGUGUGUGUGUGUUGAUGAAAGAUGAUAUCUUCAUCGAUUGGUCCUCGUGAUCAGUUAUUGGAUCUAUUGUCUUGUCCAAACUUUGAUUUGAGUGUGGGCUAUCCUCAAAUCAAAUCAGAACCAACGAUGUUCGUAAUGUUGUCCUACUCGAGGUUGAUUCCUCGGGCAUACACCAUUACAUCCUUUGUUCUGACCAAUGCCAUCACCAUGUUCACUUAAUUGUGGAAUUCCAUCUAUAUGGAAGCCUGGAUGGUUGUUUGUUGAGCCCAUUGACAACAUUCUCAUCUUGUCCAUGAUUCAUGUUGAACAUCUAAGUUAGUGUUGGAAACUUUGAAAGCAUUUCUUCAUGAAGCAUAUGUUUGGAUGAAAGAAGUGACUACCUCUGAUUCACGUGCAUUUGGUGAAAGUUGCCGUCGUGGAUUCAAGAAAGCUUGUUCCACUUCCUUGGAAUCAUCCCAAGUUAGUCAUGCAUGUGCGAAGUAUUCUAUGGUUUGAUAGGCUCGCUACCUCCAGUCCAUAUGUGUCCCUAGCACACCAAGCCACUGACUGAUUUGUUCUAGGAGAAGGAGUUAAGUGCUAAUCCAUGGUAAUGCACAAGACUUCGAUAUCCUCGAUGAUGGUUCCCAACCUGAACUCAGUAGUGUUUUAUCAUAAGACUACUAUCUGGUCAUGCUUGUAUGGGACAGCGUGUUCACAUGUGUUUGGCCGAACCAGCUCAUGUUUUGGAGCUUGCUACCGUAGUUCAUUUCCCCGAGAUUCUCGCAACAUCAUCUCGUCGAUUUGUGUUGCAAACUUUAUUUUUCUUUCUAGACUUGAUGAGUUUGGAAUAUCCUGACACCAACCAGAUCUGAAUCUCAGGCAGAUAUGAUGGUUGGAAUACACUCCAAGAACUAUAACAUUGGUCUCUCUGUAACUGGUAAAGUGGAUGUCGUGGCCAACACACCCAGCCAGAAGACCUAUUAUUGUAGUAUCCUGAUUGAGGAAGUUGGCCACCUCCCCAUAAGGAUUUCAUAGGAUUUACUCCAGAAGUUGUUCCUUAUGGAUCUAUUGUAUUCCGAAGUCCGACCACUACUUGAUGGCUAUGCUGAUGCUUUAAAGCAUGACCUUGGUAACCAGUACAUCAAGGAGAACAUUAGAAGAGGAGUGCUAAAUGUCUCUCGAUCGAUCAUCCAGAUUUCAUUCCCUUGGCCUCUCUAAGGUGAAAUCUGAGAAAGGGUUGUCUUUCUAUGCAUCUGCAUUGUCCAUCACUAUUCGUCAAGGUAGUAAGAUGUGUUGCCGGGAUCCUCGACUCGGAUGUUGGUAGAAACUUGAUGAAUAUGGAAAUGCUCAAGUUCUUGAGAGCACGCGCAAGCAAAAUCAUCCCUUGCGUUGUCUUCCACAAGGUAGUUCACAUCAUCCAUUUUAGCCCGAGUGUGUCGCUCUCCCGAACUCCGUCAAACGAUCGCUCGUAAAUUGCCUUAGGCUGGUAUAGAGAGUUCCAAUGAUCUCUGUAUCAAAAGUAAUUCUUUUUGCCACUUAAGGGAUAAUUCCACGAGUCACCUUCUUUAAGGUAUCACGUUACGAAAUCAUGGCAAUUAUCUCCUUGCUACUUGAAAUUCAUGCACCAUCUUAGUCAAGUGUGGAGUUGUAACCUGCCAAAUUGAAACCUCGUCAUUUGUUUCUUUCCUCCCCUCUCGAUAUGUGUUUUGUGCCUCAGCUCGAGAGAUGUUUCAAUGUCUCACUCCGUGAGUUGAUCCUGAGUUGUUCGACCUUCGAUAAGAUCGAUCCCUCUCGAGUUUUCCUUCUCCUCUCAUUGUCAUGUUAGUUGGAGUUCUCGGGGCAAGACACUGAGACAAAGAUGGUGAUUGAAUCAACGUUCAUUUGAAGUGCAACCUGGAUCGUGAAGAUUGGGUUAAGUUUGCGUCCCCCUUCAUCUUACCCUAUGCUUGAAUCUCGGGACGAGAUUCUUGUUUAGUAGGGGUGAGUUGUCACAGCCCUAGAAUUUGCUUGUCAUUAGUUGCAUUAAGGCAUUCAUGUCAUCAUGUUAAAUUUCUCAGAAAGUUGAAAUGGGGAUGACAAACCCUAGCACCAAAAAUUAAAUCAAAUAGGGUCAGCCAUAAGCCUUUUCAAUAAACCCAAAAUGCCUUUAAAAAAUGUUCAUCAUUUUUAGAAAAGGUUAAAACCUCUGACAAAAAUGAUGCACAUGUUUCAAGGUCAUUCAUGAAUUUUUGAAUUAAAUCAUAUCAUAUUUGAAUUUAGGCAUUUAAACACUAUAAAUAAUUUAAAUGCUCAAAUAAUGUUGAAUUUAAAUGUGGACCACUGGAAUAAUCCAUAGAGUGUCCACAAAUUAUUGCAGCAUUUUACAAAAUGCUUUAGUAUUUUUACUAAAGCCAAAACAGCAGCAGAAAAAUAGAAAACUGAAACAAAUAAAAAAGGAAAGCAGAGAGAGAGAAGCCCACCUGGACCUUACCUGGCGGCCCAAGUGGCCGGCCCGGCCCACCUGGCCCCCUCCCCUGUCGUCUUCCUCCUUUGCCAGGAGGAUGAGCGCGUGGCCGCGGCGCGCUGGCACGCGCCUCGCCAGCUCCUGCUUGCCGUCGAGGGCCUGGACGCCUCCACGAGUGCCAUGCCACCUCCCCGACCCCCCUCUCACUUCUCCCUAUCUCUCUGGACCUCCCUCCCCCUCGCUCCUCUGAUUCCCCCCCAUGGCCGAGCAUGCCCGUCGCCGCCGCUCGCUAUUGCCAUGGCCACUAGCCCUCCCUCGCCCAUCCAACGUGCUCGGGAGCUCCGCCACGCCGCCCCGUAUACCUCACCGAGCCACGUGAUCUGGGAAGCACCGCAACGCCCUCGACAUCGUCGUCUUCUACCUCGGGCCACCGAGAUCACUGGCAAUGCCACGACACCGUCCGUGCUUCCCCGAGCCCACUUCGACGCCCCCUACAACCGCUGUGAGCUACCACUUCGAACCCCUCUCUUCCCCGCCUCGAUUGCACCUUGUAGCCCUUGUUCUCACCGGAGCCGAAGCUCGCCACCGCCGCGCCAUGUUGCCGUCGUGGCUAUAGCCACUGGAGCUUCCACCUGAGUACACUACCGUGCUCAGAAUGACCCCACGAGACCGUAGCCACCAACAUCUCCUCCUCUCGUGCACCGCAACCCCAAACCCGCAACCCACCGUGCUCCGACUGCCGCCGUUUUAGUCGCUGUCGUUGACUCCUUCCAUCCCCGCUCGAACCACGGCUACCCACGGAUGCGUCUCUCUCCCCUCUUUCAAAUGCGCCCUUCCGCGCGUCGAACGGUGGCCCGUAGAGCAAAUCCGAAGCGGGCACCGCCGCGGUCUGUCGUCGCCGGCAGUUAAAUGCCAGUGGCUGAUGUGGCACCAUCAUUAGGGCCUAAGCACCCUACUGAUUACCCCCCUGGAGUCAUUGACAACUGGGCCCCACGUGUUAAUUAACCCCGGAAUUUAUUCCCUGUUUAACUUAGACUAAUCCACCGGGCCCACAUGUCAGGUUGACUUUGCUGACAUGGCCUUUGACCGGUCCCACCUGUCAUCCACCCAAACCAGCCUGAGACACUGACGUAUGGGUCCCACAGGUCAGGUUUGACCUGGCCGACCUAGUUGACCUGCUGAUGUCACCCCUAUGUCAUGCUGACGCAGUAAAUGAUUUUCUGGAUUUUAAAACAAUUCAGGAAAUUCCAGAAAAUGACUUAAACUUCAAAACAUCAUAGAAAUUAAACCAUAACUCCAAAUGGAAUAAUUUAUAUAUGAAAAAUUAUCAGAAAAAUUCAAGGAAUCUGUUUAUGGCAUUUUCAUGCAUGUUAGAACAACUUAUGGCUGCUGUUUAGGCCAAUUCACAUAAAUAGAAUUUAAACUCUCACAUAUGGAAUUUGAAUUUGAACCUAGGGUUCAAACCAACUCCAUUUAACAUGUUGCUAGUUGCAUUAGCUCAAACCACAGCAUAUUGACAUGUCAUGAUCAUGCAUCAUAUUGUGCAUUGCAUUGAUUGUGUUUCUUUCUCUGUUGCGGGUAUUUGUCCCCGCUCGAUAGACGUUGUACCGACGCUGUGAUCGUUGACACUGAUGAAGACCCAAUGAUAUCUUCAGAAGUGCCAGGCAAGCAAAACCCCCUUGUUCAUUCCGAUACAAUCCCACUCUCUCGCUCCGGCUCUCUUUUGCUGCAUUAGGACAACAAUGAUUCAUCUGUUACUUGCUGCGGUAGUUGAACCCCUUAUCCUCUGCAUGACCUGACAUUGCCACAGUAAAUAGAUGAAACCCACUAGCAUGAGUAGGAGUUGUUUGAGCCCUGAUGUGCCUACUCAUUCAUGCUUGUUUGUCAUGCCUGCUAUUGCAUAGAGUUGUGUCGGGUCUGAUUCAUCGGGGAUGAAUCAGAGGUGUGUGAACAUGUCCUACUAUGUGUGAGCUAAGUGUGUGAACACGAUUUGGUAAAGGUAGCGGUGAGAGGCCAUGUAGGAGUACAUGGUGGGUUGUCUCAUUGCAGCCGUCCUCAGGAACUGAGUUCUGUGUCUGUGAUCCAUGAACAGCUACUACCACUCAUUGGGAUCCUUAAUUGACCCUCUCGGCUUCUUAAUCACCCUAGUACUCUGUCCAGGAGUUGCAACUAGUUUCUGGUGUUUGUAGGUUAUGUGUUGGCGGCCGUGCGUAGCGCUGACCCUAGGGGUGGGCUAUGUUGCGGUAGAUACACCGUGGCACGGUGUACCAGGCGCCCGUUUGGUGUCUCGGGAACCCUGUUCACAUCGUUCGGGGCCGUAUGUGGAAACCUCGGCCAGACUCCCUGCGGAUGGAACCUGGAUAGGCGAUAAACCUGGACUAGAGACUUAAGUGUUUAGGUAGGCCGUGGCCGACACCCUCGUUGGGCUUCCGCUUGAAGGUUGCCGAGUACAUGUCGUGUAAACGACGGUAAGUGGUGGGAGCGUGUGUGAAGAAGUACACCCCUGCAGGGUUAUCAUUAUCUAUUCGAAUAGCUGGAUUCCUCGGAUAUGGAAACUUGGACCCCUUGCAUAGUUCAUAGAUAAGUGAAAGUGGUUACUCUAAAACUCGCAAGAUAAGUGUGAGUGCUAUGGAUGGCCUUCUCGUAGGGAGACGAGAGCGGAUCCAUAGUGGUGUAUUGAAUGGUGAAUAUGUGGACUCGUGUGCGCCACCUCAAAAGAGUUGCUUGUAGUCGUAGUUCAGGUUAGCCACUGGGUCAAAGCUGGCUUGCUGCAGUUAAACUCCACCACCCCCUUUGUUGAUACCGACGCAUAUGUAGAUAGUUCUGAUGUAAGUCUUGUUGGGUACAUUUGUACUCACGUUUGCUUAUUUUAUGUUUUGCAGAGAGACUUCAGUCUCGCUAGUAGUUCCGCUUGGACUUCGACGUUUAGCUUGUUACCUCAGCUACGAUCUUGUACCCUUGGGAGGGUCUGGUAUAUAGUCAGGCUCCUCAGCCUUCUUCAUUUUUAGUUGUCUGUACUCAGACAAGUUAAGCUUCCACAUGUGCUUUGACUUGUAUGCUCUGGAUGUUGGGUCAUGAGACCCAUGUUUGUAAUAUCUCGCUCCUCGGAGCCUAGUGAAUAAAUACUUGAGUCGUAGAGUUAUGUUGUGAUGCCAUGUUGUAUUUACACAUAUCGAGCAUAUUGUGUGUAUGAUUGAAAUGCUUGGUAUGUGUGGGAUCCGACAAUCUAGUUGUUUAUCCUUGGCAGCCUCUCUUAUGGGGAAAUGUAGUCUUGUGCUUCCAUGAGCCAUAGUAGUCUGCUACAGCCCGGUUCACCGGAGUCCUGCUAGCCCAGCACUACUGCUCAGGACACUUGACUGGCCGGCAUGUGUUUCACUUUGUUCAUGUGUCUGUCCCUUCGGGGAAAUGUCACGCGGUGACAUCCGGAGUCCUGCCUAGCCUGCUACAGCCCGGGUUCCCGGAGUCCUGUUAGCCCAGUGCUACAGCCCGGAUUCACACGCUGCUGACCAACAUGCUCGAUGAAGAACCGAUUCUGUAACAACCCCAAAGGCGAAUCUAUCUAAAUAAACCUAAAACUGUGAUUCAUGUAUGCCUGUCCCCAUAGGUUAGUGCCGCUUUGGGUUCACGACUAGUCAUGUCGGCCCGGGUUCUCUGUCAUAUGGAUGCUAGCGACACUAUCAUAUACGUGAGCCAAAAGGCACAAACGGUCCCGGGCCAUGGUAAGGCGACACCCGUGGGAAUACCGUGCGUGAGGCCGCAAAGUGAUAUGAGGUGUUACCGGCUAGAUCAAUGUGACUUGGAAUCGGGGUCCUGACAUAUUUCUAUUUCUGAUGUUGAAACACAAUCUGGUAAUGAACAUGAACCUAGUGAUAAUGUUAAUGAUGAUGUUCAUGUUGAUGCUCAACCUAGCAAUAACAAUGAUGUAGAGAUUGAACCUGCUGUUGAUCUUGAUAAUCCACAAUCAAAGAAUCAACGUUAUGAUAAGAGAGACUUUGUUGCUAGGUAGCACGGUAAAGAAAGAGAACCAUGGGUUCAGAAACCCAUGCCUUUUCCUCCUAAACCAUCCAAGAAAAAGGAUGGUGAGGAUUUUGAGCGCUUUGUUGAAAUGAUUAGACCUAUCUUUUUGCGUAUGCAUUUGACUGAUAUGCUUAAAAUGAAUCCUUAUGGUAAGUAUAUGAAAGAUAUUGUUACAAAUAAAAGAAAGAUAUCGGAGGCUGAAAUUUCCACCAUGCUUGCCAAUUAUACUUUUAAAGGUGGAAUACCUAAGAAACUAGGAGAUCCAGGAGUACCAACUAUACCAUGCUCCAUUAAAAGAAACUAUGUUAAAAAUGCUUUAUGUGAUCUUGGAGCCGGUGUUAGUGUUAUGCCUCUCUCUUUAUAUCAUAGACUUGAUUUGCAUAAGUUGACACCUACUGAAAUAUCUUUGCAAAUGGACGAUAAAUCAACUUUUAUACCUGUCGGAAUUUGUGAGGAUGUGCCCAUUGUGGUUGCAAACGUCAUUAUUUUAACGGACUUUGUUAUUCUUGAUAUUCCUGAGGAAGAUAGUAUGUCCAUUAUCCUUGGUAGACCCUUUUUUAAUACUGUAGGGGCUGUAUUGAUUGCAACAAAGGCAAUGUCACUUUUCAUUAAUGGUAAUGAGCAUAUGCUACACUAUCCGAGGAAACAACCUCAAGUCCAUAGUAUCAAUUCUAUUGGAAAAAAUUCAAUGAUUACUAUUGGAGGUUUUGAAUUCCCUCUUCCUACUGUCAAGAAGAAAUAUUAUAUUCUUCUUGUUGGGGACAUGCACAUCCCCGUUGAGGUAACCUAGUGUUAUUCGAAAAUUCUCCGGUUUCAUGUUAUUCGGAAAGGGUUUGUUAACAAGACUUGAUCAACCUUGUUAGUGGAUUCCUUUUGAUGAGCAUGAGAUGGAUGAAGUUAGAAAGCACAAUUUUCUGUACCCUCCUUUUACUUUCUGUUAUUUAGAUUAAAUAAAGCAAAAAUAGUAUUUUCUGUCUGUUUUCUGAAUUAUCCUUGCAAUAAAAAUACCCCGAAAAUACAAGUUCUCUGAAUGUCCUGAAAAUGAAAUAUGAUUUUUUGUAGAAUAUUUAAGAAUUACUCGCACUGAGAACACACCAGGGGGCCCACCAUUUGGCCACGAGGAUGUAGGGCGCGCCCCCUGCCUUGUGGACCCCACAUGGACCCCUCCACUUAUUCCAGCACCCACUCACUUCGUCUUCCUCCAGAAAAAUCCUCCCAUAGCUCAUACCCAUGUUCUAGCUCAUCAUGCUGCCAUUUUCGAUCUCCUUGCUCAAAGCUCCAUUCACAAAACUGUUUGGGGAGAUUGUUCUUUGGUAUGUGACUCAUCUAAUGGCCCAAUUAGUUUUUGUUCUAGUGCUUUAUUUAUUGCAAAUUUUUGCUGCUAAGGUGACCCUGUUCUUGAGCUUUCAUGUCAAAUUUAUAUGGUCCAAAAUAGUGUUAAUGCAUGAUAUAGCCUCUAGGCACUUGUGGGAGUAGUUGCUAUCAAUUUUGUUGAGUUUGGUUCACUUUUAUUUCGAGUCGCUAAAAUUUCAGAAAUUUUCAGAGGGAGAAAAUGUUGAAGAGAUUGUUGAGAGGCUAUUCGAGCCGAAGCUCGAAGGAUAAGCAGAAUGAGGAGAAUAAAAAGCCCAAAUGCAUUCUUCCUCGCACUGUGGAGGUUCGGCCGUGCGAAUGGCCUUGUGAUGAGUUCUUGAGAGCCGCUAGAAUUCAUGAUGACUUUUAUUGCUUGGCUGAGAAUGCAGGCCUCACCAACUUCCUCCACGACCAGCGCGAACAGUAUCUCCUACUCACUAAUACUUUCGUGCAAAUUUUUUAUUUCCAUGCUAAGAAAUCACCACCUUCAGUGGAGUUUCACUUAUAUGAUGAGGUUAAGGAGAUGUCACUCCAUGAUUUUUGUCGGGUCUGCAAGAUACCCUUUGAGGGCAGCAUCGAGGAACCACAUCGUAGUGAUGUGGAUGGGUUUAUUGAUAGAAUUGUUAUAGGAGAAACUAGGAAAGUUUUCGAUGCAAGAAUUACUAGUAUACAUUUUCCUGUUCUAUGCUACUUUGCGAUAUUUGCUAGUAGAUGCUUAAUUGGUCGUGGUAACAGUGGAAAUCUUAGUGCUCCUGAUAUUGUCAUUUUGCGUCAUGCUUUGUUUCGUGAUACAACUUUCAGCUUAGGCACCAUUGUUGCUAAACGAUUAAGUCUGAACCGUAUAAAGGGCCCCAUCUUCGGAGGCAUCUUUGCCUCACGCCUUGCUGAACACUUUGAGAUACCUAUUAGGCAUUAUGAGAAAGAGGAAAAGUUGCUGCCCCUGUUUUUCUAGAUUAUAAGAGUGUGGUAGCACAUGAUUUUAUUGUUAAAAAUAAGAAGAAGAUGCUUAAGUAUAAUUUGAUAUUUGAUAAAACUCACUGUGAUAUUAUUACCUUGCCUGCACCCUCUUUGUUUAACAUACUUUCAGGCACAUACCUCAUCUUACCCGAGGCCAUAUAUGCAUACUAGAGGCUGACACAAGUCCCAGAGCCUGAGCCUGAGCCACCACUUGACCCUUAUCGACAGUCGGUGUAUCAGUGGGAUCCGGAGGAGAUCGCCAACCAGUGGCAUCCUCAGGACCCUCCUCAAUACACCGGAGAGAGUAGCUUCGAUCCGUGGGCAUAGACCAACUUAGGCCAAAAGCCUAAGCUUGGGGGAGUACGUAUUUCUCACCGACAUUACAUUCAUGUUCACACACUCAUGCCAGUUGUCGGUGCUCAUACUUUUUCAUUGUACUAUCCAUGCUAGUUUAUUUUUCUUGCUAAGCCUUCUUCUUGUGUGUCUGGAAAACCUUAAGGAAAACCAAAAAAAUAUUAGUUGUAGCUUUUAGCUAGCUUACUUUCCAUGCAUGUAGUAGUAAUUAAAAGAAAACCCAAAAAGAUUUGUCGUUCUUCUUUUGCUUGUUGGGAGCUUUCCCGUGUAAAUGGUUUUAUUUCUUUUCUUAUUAUUGGGGGGUCAAGAGGAGAAUACCAUGAUGCAAAUGUUGAGCGGCUCUCAUAUGCAUUAUUAUUGAUUUAACCAAGAGCCCAUAUUACCUUGUCUUCUCCCUUGUAUUAAAUGCUUGCAGAUUCCAGCUUAGUCCAAUGCACGUGCACUAUUAUUAUUAUCCACACUGUUCGGUCGUGCGAGUGAAAGGCAAUAAUGACGAUAUAUGAUGGACCGAUUGAGAUGAGAUAAGCUGGUAUGAACUCGACCUAUCUUGUUUUUGUAAAUAUGAUUAGUUCAUCGUUCUUGAUUCAGCCUAUUAUGAAUGAAACAUGUUUGCAAUGACAAUUAGAGAUUAUAGUUGCCCAUGCCAUGCUUAAUUAGCUAGGAGUUUAUAAUGGUUUACCUUGCGUGCCAACAUGCUAUUAAAAUGAUUGCGAUGUGGUAUGAUAGGGUGGUAUCCUCCUUUGAACGAUUCGAGUGGCUUGACUUGGGACAUGUUCACGCAUGUAGUUGAAACAAAAUCAACAUAGCCUCCACGAUAUUUAUGUUCAUGGUGAUUUAUAUCCUACUCAUGCUUGCACUCAUUGUUGAUUAAUCUUAAUGCAUGUUCAUGACUGUUGUCGCUCUCUAGUUGGUCGCUUCCCAGUCUCUUUCUAGCCUUCACUUGUACUAAGCGGGAAUACUGCUUGUGCAUCCACUUCCAUAAACCCCAAAGUUAUUCCACAUGAGCCCACCAUACCUUCCUAUAUACGGUAUUUACUUGUCGUUCCAAGUAAAUUUGUAUGUGCCAAACUCUAAACCUUCAAAUGAAAUUCUGUUUUGUAUGCUCGAAUAGCACAUGUAUCAACUAGGGUUGUCUAUAUCUUCCAUGCUAGGUGGGUUAUUCUCAUGACGAGUUGACUCCGCUCAUCACUCACGAGAAAAUGGCUGGUAACCGGGAUGCCUAGUCCCAUGCUUAAAUCAAAAUAAUUGCAAACAAAACUCCCCCAGGAUUGUUGUUAGUUGGAGGCACCCGUUGUUUCAAACAAGCCAUGGAUUGAUGUUUGUUGGUGGUGGGGGAGUAUAAACUUUACCGUUCUGUUUGGGAACCGCCUAUAAUGUGUGUAGCAUGGAAGAUAUCGAGAUCUCCUGGUUGUUAUGUUGAUAAUGAAAGUAUACCACACAAAAUAUUAUUUAUCUCUGUUUCAAAACUCGAGCUCUGGCACCUUUGCAAAUCCCUACUUCCCUCUGCGAAGGGCCUAUCUACUUACUUUUAUGUUGAGCCAUCAUCCUCUUAUUAAAAAGCACCAGUUGGAGAGCACCGCUGUCAUUCACAUGCAUUGCUAUUAAUUUACAUUGAGUAUGACUGUGACUGGAUCUCUUUUACCAUGAAUUACAAUGUCUAGUCAGUCCUUGCUCUUCAGGGGUGCUCUGCAUUUAUGUUUUGCGGUCUCAGAAAGGGCUAGCGAGAUACCAUCUUGUUAUAUCAUGUUAUGAUUGUUUUGAGAAAGUGUUUUCAUCCGAGAUUUAGUAUUAUUGCUCGCUAGUUGAUUAUGCCAUUGAUGUGAGUAAACAUGAGACCUAAAUGUUAUUGUGAAUAUGGUUAGUUCAUAAUCUUUGCUGAAAACUUGAAUGUUGGCUUCACAUAUUUGCAACAACAAGAUCAAAUAGAGUUUGUAAAAGUUUUUCUUUACCACUUUCAGUUUGUCAACUGAAUUGCUUGAGGAUAAGCAAAGAUUUAAGCUUGGGGGAGUUGAUACGUCUCCAACGUAUCUACUUUUCCAAACACCUUUACCCUUGUUUUGGACUCUAACUUGCAUGAUUUGAAUGGAACUAACCCGGACUGAUGUUGUUUUCAGCAGAAUUGCCAUGGUGUUAUUUUUGUGCAGAAAUAAAAGUUCUUGGAAUGACCCGAAAAUCCACGGAGAUACAUUUUGGAAUUAAUAAAAAAUAUAGGCGAAAGAAUCGGCAUUAGGGGGCCCACACCCUGUCCAUGAGGGUGCAGGGCGGGCCCCCCCUAGGGCGCGCCCCCUGCCUCGUGGGCCCCCUGAGACUCCACCGAUGUCAACUCCAACUCUAUAUAUUCAUGUUCGGGAAGGAAAAAAUCAGAAAGAAGGAUUCAUUGCAUUCUACGAUACGGAGCCUCCGCCAAGCCCUAAUCUUCGUUGGGAGGGCUGAUCUGGAGUCCAUUCAGGGCUCCGGAGAGGGGAAUCCGUCGCCAUCAUCGCAAUCGUCAUCAUCAACCUUCCUCCAUCACAAAUUUCAUGAUGCUCACUGACGUGCGUGAGUAAUCCCAUCAUAGGCUUGCUGGACGGUGAUGGGUUGGAUGACAUUUACCAUGUAAUCGAGUUAGUUUUGUUAGGGUUUGAUCCCUAGUAUCCAUUAUGUUCUAAGAUUGAUGUUGAUAUGACUUUGCUAUGCUUAAUGCUUGUCACUAGGGCUCGAGUGCCAUGAUUUUAGAUCUGAACCUAUUAUGUUUUCAUGAAUAUAUGUGAGUUCUUGAUCUUAUCUUGCAAGUCAAUAGUCACCUACUAUGUGUUAUGAUCCGGCAACCCCGAAGUGACAAUAAUCGGGACCACUUCCGGUGAUGACCGUAGUUUGAGGAGUUCAUGUAUUCACUAAGUGUUAAUGCUUUGGUCCGGUACUCUAUUAAAAGGAGGCCUUAAUAUCCCUUAGUUUCCAAUAGGACCCCGCUACCAUGGGAGGGUAGGACAAAAGAUGUCAUGCAAGUUCUUUUCCAUAAGCACGUAUGACUAUAUUCGGAAUACAUGCCUACAUUACAUUGAUGAACUAGAGCUAGUUCUGUGUCACCCUAUGUUAUAACUGUUGCAUGAGGAAUCGCAUUCGACAUAAUUAUCCAUCAUUGAUCCAAUGCCUACGUGCUUUUCACAUAUUGAUCUUUGCUUAGUUACUUUUUCGUUGCCACUGUUACGAUUGCCACAAAACUUCUACUGUUACUUUUGCCACCAUUACCGUUACUUCCAUACUACUUUCCUGCAGAUAUUAAGUCUUUCAAGUGUGGUUGAAUUGGCAACUCAACUGCUAAUACUUGAUAAUAUUCUUUGGCUCCCCUUGUGUCCAAUCAAUAAAUUUGUGUUGAAUACUCUACCCUCGAAAACUGUUGUGAUCCUCUAUACUUGUGGGUUAUCAGUAACUUGAGGAUUAUCCUCAUUGCUACACAGAAGAAUUAUGUCAUGGAUGCACCACUAGGUGACAGACCAGCUGCAAGAGCAAAUGCAGAUGUUAUGAACGUCUGGCAGGCUCGAUCUGAUAACUACUCUAUAGUGCAGUGUGACAUGCUUUACGACUUAGAACCGGGACUUCAAAGACGUUUUGAACGUCAUGGAGCAUAUGAGAUGCUCCAAGAGUUGAAGUUAAUAUUUCAAGCAAAUGCCCGAGUUGAGAGAUAUGAUGUCUCCAACAAGUUCUAUAGCUGCAAGAAGGAGGAGAACAGUUCUGUCAGUGAACACAUACUCAAAAUGUCUGGGUAUCAUAACCACUUGACUCAACUGGGAGUUGAACUUGCAAUUGAUAGUGUUAUUGACAAAGUUCUUCAAUCACUGACACCAAACUACAAAGGCUUCGUGAUGAACUAUAAUAUGCAAAGGAUGAAUAAAACGAUUCUUGAGCUCUUUGCAAUGCUUAAGGCCGCGGAGGUAGACAUCAAGAAGGAACAUCAAGUGUUGAUGGUUAAUAAGACCACUAGUUUCAAGAAAAGGGGCAAGGGAAAGAAAGGGAACUUCAAGAAUAAUGGAAAGCAAGUUGCCACUCCCAAGAAGAAACCCAAAGCUGGACCCAAGCCUGAAACUAAGUGCUUCUACUACAAAGGGAGUGGUCACUGGAAGUGGAACUGCCACAAAUACUUGGCAGAUAAGAAGGAUGGAAGGAUGGCAAAGUGAACAAAGGUAUAUUUGAUAUACAUGUUAUUGAUGUGUACCUAAUGCUCAUAGUAGCGAUUGGGUAUUUGAUACUAGUUCGAUUGGUCAUAUUUUUUAGUCAAAACAGGAGCUACGGAAUAAAUGAAGAUUGGCUAAGGAUGAGGUGACGGUGCGCGUCGGGAAUGGUUCCAAGGUCGAUGUGAUCGCCGUCGCACGCUACCUCUACAUCUACCUUCGGGAUUAGUUUUAGACCUCAGUAACUGUUAUUUGGUGCCAGCGUUGAGCAUGAACAUUAUAUCUGGACCUUGUUUAUUGCGAGACGGUUAUUCAUUUAAAUCGGAGAAUAAUGAUUGUUCUAUUUAUAUGAGUAAUAUCUUUUAUGGUCAUGCACCCUUGAUGAAUGGUCUAUUCUUGUUGAAUCUCGGUCGUAGUGAUACACAUAUUCAUAAUAUUGAUGCCAAAAGAUGCAAAGUUGAAUAAUGAUAGUGCAACAUAUUUGUGGCACUGCCGUUUAGGUCAUAUUGGUGUAAAGCGCAUGAAGAAAAUCCAUGCAGAUGGACUUUUGGAAUCACUACCUGCGAACCAUGCCUCAUGGGCAAGAUGACUAAAACUCUAUUCUUUGGAACAAUGGAGCAAGCUAAUGACUUAUUGGAAAUAAUACAUACCAAUGUAUGCGGUCCGGUGAGUGUUUAAGCACGCGGCAGGUAUCAUUAUUUUCUGACCUUCAUAGAUGAUUUGAGUAGGUAUGAGUAUAUCUACUUGAUGAAACACAAGUCUGAAACAUUUGAAAAGUUCAAAGAAUUUCAGAGUGAAGUGGAGAAUCUCAUAGCAAGAAAAUAAAGUUUCUACGAUCUGAUCGCGGAGGCGAAUAUUUGAGUUACGAGUUUGGCCUUCAUUUAAAACAAUGUGGAAUUGUUUCACGACUCACGUCACCUGGAACACCACAGCGUAAUGGUGUGUCCGAACGUCGUAACUGUACUUUAUUGGAUAUGGUGCGUUCUAUGAUGUCUCUUACCGAUUUACCACUAUCGUUUUGGGGUUAUGCAUUAGAGACAUGUGCAUUCACGUUAAAUAGGGCACCGUGUAAAUUCGUUGAGAUGACACCAUAUGAACUUUGGUUUGGCAAGAAACCUAAGCUGUUGUUUCUUAAAGUUUGGGGUUGUGACACUUAUGUCAAAAGGCUUCAGCCUGAUAAGCUCGGACCCAAAUCAAAAAAAUGCGUCUUCAUAGGAUACCCAAAGGAAACAAUUGGGUACACCUUCUACCAUAGAUCCGAAGGCAAGAUCUUUAUUGCCAAGAAUGGAACGUUUCUAGAGAAGGAGUUUCUCUCGAAAGAAGUGAGUGGGAGGAAAGUAGAACUGGAUGAGGUAGUUGUACCUACUCUAGAAUUGGAAAGUAUCACAUCAGAGAAAUCCAUUCCCGUGAUGCUACACCAACUAGAGAGGAAGCUAAUGAUGAUGAUCAUGAAACUUCAAAUCAAGUUACUACUAGACCUUGUAGGUCAAAUAGAGCAUGUUCCGCACCAGAGUGGUACGGUAAUCCUGUACCUAGAGGUCAUGUUAUUAGACCAUGGCGAACCUACGAACUAUGAAGAAGCUAUGAUGAGCCUAGAUUCCGAUAAAUGGCUUGAGGCCAUGAAAUCUGAGAUAUGAGAUAUGAUCCAUGUAUGAGAACAAAGUGUGGACUUUGGUGGACUUGCCCAAUGAUAGGCAAGCCAUUGAGAAUAAAUGGAUAUUCAAGAAGAAGACAAGCACUGAUGGUAAUGUCACCAUCUACAAAGCUCAAUUUGUCACAAAAGGUUUUCGACAAGUUCAAGGGAUUGACUACGAUGAGACCUUCUCACCGGUAGCAAUGCUUAAGUCAGUCCGAAUCAUAUUAGCAAUUACCGCAUUUUAUAAUUAUGAAAUCUAGCAAAUGGAUGUCAAAACUGCAUUCCUUAAUGGAUUUCUUAAAGAAGAGUUGUAUAUAAUGCAACCAGAAGGUUUUAUUGAUCCUAAAGGUGCUAACAAAGUGUGCAAGCUCCAGCGAUCCAUCUAUGGACUGGUGCAAGCAUCUCGGAGUUAGAAUAUAUGCUUUGAUGAGGUGAUCAAAGCAUAUGGUUUUAUGCAAACUUAUGGUAAAGCAUGUAUUUACAAGAAAGUGAGUGGGAUCUCUGUAGCAUUUCUAAUAUUAUAUGUGGAUGACCUAUUAUUGAUUGGAAAUGAUAUAGAACUUCUGGAUAGCAUAAAUGUAUACUUGAAUAAGAAUUUUUCAAUGAAAGACCUCGGUGAAGUUGCUUAUAUAUUGGGCAUCAAGAUCUAUAGGGAUAGAUUGAGACGCUUAAUAGGACUUUCACAAAGCACAUACCUUGAUAAAGUUUUGAAGUUCAAAAUGGAUGAGCCAAAGAAAGGGUUCUUGCCUGUGUUACAAGGUGUGAAAUUGAGUCAGACUCAAGGCCCGACCACUACAGAAGAUAGAGAGAAACUGAAAGUCAUUCCCACUGCCUCAGCCAUAGGUUCUAUCAUGUAUGCUAUGAUAUGUACCAGACCUGAUGUGUGCCUUGCCAUAAGUUUGGCAGGGAGGUACCAAAGUAAUCCAGGAGUGGAUCACUGGACAACGGUCAAGAACAUCCUGAAGUACCUGAAAAGGACCAAGGAUAUGUUUCUCGUUUAUGGAGGUGACGAAGAGCUCGUCGUAAAUGGUUACGUCGAUGCUAGCUUCGACACUAAUCCCGAUGACUCUAAGAUACAAACUGGAUACGUUUUUAUAUUGAAUGGUGGAGCUGUCAGCUGGUGCAGUUCCAAGCAGAGCAUCGUGGCGGGAUCUAUGUGUGAAGCGGAGUACAUAACUGCUUCAGAAGUAGCACAUGAAGGAGUCUGGAUGAAGGAGUUCAUAUCCGAUCUGGGUGUAAUAGCUAGUGCAUCGGGUCUAAUGAAAAUAUUUUAUGACAACACUGGAGCAAUUGCCUUGGUGAAGGAAUCCAGUUUUCAUAAGAGAACCAAACACAUCAAGAGACGCUUCAACUCCAUUCGUGAAAAGGUCAAGGAUGGAGACGUAGAAGUUUGCAAAAUACAUACAGAUCUGAAUGUGGAGACCCGUUGACUAAGCCUCUUCCGUGAGCAAAACAUGAUCAGCACCAAGACUCCCUGGGUGUUAGAUUCAUUACAAUGUAAUCUAGAUUAUUGACUCUAGUGCAAGUGGGAUACUGAAGGAAAUAUGCCCUAGAGGCAAUAAUAAAGUUGUUAUUUUAUAUUUCCUUAUUCAUGAUAAAGAUUUAUUAUUCAUGCUAGAAUUGUAUUGAUUAGAAACUUAAAUACAUGUGUCAAUACAUAAACGAAAUACCGUGUCCCUUGUAAGCCUCUACUAGACUAGCUCAUUGAUCAAAGAUGGUUAAGGGUGUGUUUGGUACAUGGCAUCAAGUGGAAUGGAACGGGUCCGACCCAUGAUUGGGCCUCAUUCUUGUAUUUGGUACACUACUAGAACCGGAACCCACUGGUUCCCACAAAGGGAAUAUCCGGUCCAGAUCCGGAACGCAGUCAUUCCUCCAAAUCGAAGGAACGACACGGAACGCUCCCUCGCCCUCUCUCUCGUGCACAAAUUGCAUCGCCUCUGCCUCUCUGUAUUGUGUCGCCGCCUGCUAUUCUUCCUCGAUCCGCGACGACGGCUGCUCCUCUGCACGAACUGUGUUUCCGGCUGCCCAUCUCCCGCGAUCCGCGCUGCCUACUGCUCCUCUCCCUCGUCCCCUCCUCUCUCAACUGUGGCACAGCGGACGAACUACUGCCUGGCGGCGGACGAGCAGAUGCGGCCUGCGGGGCGGCGGGCGGCCUUCUCCAAGCAAGCGGCCAUGCGAGUUGUUGGUCGCACGGCGACCAGCAACAAUCUGCAGCUACCAUUUGAGUCAAGUUCCGUCCAGCCACAACUGACCAGAUGGAUUCUUUGAUUUAGCACUCCAGUCCGUCAUGUUUGUUGUGAAUUUGUUUGUUGCAAGGUAGAGUACCAACAAUAGGUCAACUUCAUCUUUCUAACGUGUGUUAGACUGUAUAGUACAUUUUUGGCAAUAUGUUUUGCUACCUUAACAUGUGUUAACAUGUAGUAGAAAUCUAUAUGUGAGAUGUCACCAUUUCGUCUCACUAACCAAACAUCAAAAUGGAACCAUUCCAUUCUACCUAAUUGCCCAUACCAAACACAGUGACGGAACCGACCCGUUCUACUGGAAUGAAACCAUUACAUUCCAUUCCACCUCGUCCCCGAACCAAACACACCCUAAGGUUUCCUAACCAUGGACAUGUUUUGUCAUUUGAUAACAGGAUCACAUCAUUUGGAGAAUGAUGUGAUGGACAAGACCCAUCUGUUAGCUUAGCAUAUUGAUCGUUCAGUUUAUUGCUAUUGCUUUCUUAAUGUUAAAUACAUAUUCCUUCGACUAUGAGAUUAUGCAACUCCCAGAUACCGGACGAAUACCAUGUGUGCUAUCAAACAUCACAACGUAACUAGGUGAUCAUAAAGAUGCUCUGCAAGUAUCUCUGAAGGUGUUUGUUGAGUUGGCAUAUAUCAAGAUUAGGAUUUGUCACACCGAGUAUCGGAGAGAUAUCUUCGGGCCCUCUCGGUAAUACACAUCAUAAGAAGCCUUGCAAGCAUAGUGAAUAAAAAGUUAGUUGCUAGAUGAUGUAUUACAGAACGAGUAAAGAGACUUGCCGGUAACGAGAUUGAACUAGGUAUGAAGAUACCGACGAUCGAAUCUCGGGCAAGUAACAUACCGAUGGACAAAGGGAAUUACGUAUGUUCUCAUAAGGUUCGACCGAUAAAGAUCUUUGUAGAAUAUGUAGGAGCCAAUAUGGGCAUCCAGGUUCCGCUAUUGGUUAUUGACCGGAGAGGUGUCUCGAUCAUGUCUACAUAGUUCUCAAACCCGUAGGGUCCGCACGCUUAACGUUCGUUGACUAUAUAGUGUUAUAUGAGUUAUAUGAUUUGGUGACUGAAUGUUGUUCGGAGUCUCGGAUAAGAUCACAGCCAUGAUGAGGAGCUCCAGAAUGGUCCAAAGGUAAGGAUUGAUAUAUAGGACAAUGGUAUUCGGACACCAGAAGUGUUUCAGAGUAUAUCAGGUGGUCAUCGGAAUACCGGAGGGGGUACCGGACACUCCCGGGAGGGUAAUGGGACUAUUGGGCCAUUAGAGGGGAGCACGCCAGCCCACAAGGGGCUGGCGCACCCUCCUAUGGCAACCGGCCAAGUGGGAGAAAGGAAAGGGGGGAGGUUUCGGCCUCCCCCUUCCUUCCCUCUCCCCCCUUUCCUUCCCCCCUCCGACAAAUAUGGAAGGGGGUCGUGGCCAAGGGCAAGAGCCCAAGUAGGAUUUGGCCCUACUUGGGGCGCCCCUUGGCCUCUCCCCUCUUCCCCCACCUAUAUAUGGGGCGCCCCUUGGCCUCUCCCCUCUUCCCCCACUUAUGUAUAUGUGGGAGGGGGGCACCUAGCACAACCAUAACAGUUGCUUAGACAUGUGCGGAGCCCCCCUCCACCGUUUACACCCUCGGUCAUUUUUUUGUGGUGCUUAGGUGAAGCCCUGUGGAGAUAGCAUCACCAUCACCACGCCGUCGUGCUGCCGAAACUCAUCCACUACCUCGCCGUCUUGCUCGAUCAAGAAGGCGUGGACGUUGUCGUGGUUCUAAGUCUGACAGUAGAAUGGGGGUAGGUAUGAGGAGGCAAGAUCCUAGCUACGGUGAAGUUGUGCACGCAAGACUUACGAGUUCAAGCCCUUCUCAGAGGAAGUAACAGCCCUACGUCUCGGUGCCCGGAGGAUGGUCGAUUGGAUUAUGCGUGAAGUUACAGGGGGUGCGAACCCUUGUCUCAGAGGAGGGGGUGGCUUAUAUAGAGUGCGCUAGGACCCUAGCCAUCCCCCGUUACAUAGAGUUCAAUGUACAUAAAGAGGGGACGUUACUGGUAACGCCAGGAUUGAAGUGAUAUAAAUGAUCUUUAAGACUACGGAGCGAACGCCUAACUGUUGCUAUCCAAAGUGACCUUAGAUCUUAUGUACUCCGAGUGGUUUCUGAUGUGGUAGAAUGAUUAUAUCCUAGUCGAAUGGAAUUGGGUUGUCCGAGUGGAACCCAUGGUCGAGUGAGCUGCACCCUGAGGUGAUUUCAGUCGGUAGGAUUUGUUGUCCUUUGAAUGUCUUCGACUAUAGGGCAGUGUCCUUGGGGAGGGUGCUUAGAUCAGGUCUAUUGCCCUACCCUAGGUACAUAUCAUCGUCAUUAGCCCCCGAAUGGUUCUGGGUCCGAGUGGAGAUGGAGUUAAAGAUGGUUCCGACUCAAUGUUCAUGCUUCGGAAGCAUUUUACUUGGAUUGGUGAACCAUGCAAAAUUUCGACUUCAUUUCGAGUCGCCUUGAGCCAUUCAAAGGUUGUCGAGUGAACUUAACUGAUAAGCUUCGAAUGCUGAUAUGGCAUAAAAUCUUUGGCGUGAUCGAUUGCGCUGAUGUUCCCGGAUCUUGCGGGAUUCGAAAUCUGGGGAAGCGCGCGGGACGGAGAGAGCCGCAGUAAGCGGGGCGGAUUAGGUAGGGGUACCUCUAUUCUCACGCCACCUUUUUUGCCACGUAUCGAGCGCGUGACUGUUGCGGGAUUUGACAGGAUUGCCUGGGUCCACAAGUCAGUCACUCGGGGAACAUGACCAUAUAAGGCGUACGGGCCGGCGUCUUUGCACUGUGCGCCCCAUUUCCCACCUUCUUUCUCUACUUCUCCAUUGCAUCCACCUCUGCUCUCGGUGCCGCCGCCUAGUCCAAGCUCAACACGCUGCAAUGGGCAAGGAAAAGACGGCGGCUUUGGAGCGUGCGAAGAAGGCGACGACGAAGGCGAAGGGGAAGAAGACGAGCCGGGAAGGGUCGUCGUUGAAAACCGGCCUGCCGCUCGGCUGGAUCCAGGGCGACUGGAUCCGGUCAACGAUCCAGCUAGAAGACAUGGAGGAUCUGGCUAAGGGGGGACUGAUUCCCCACGAUUCUUGGUGGCUUCCGGAGGACGAGACCGAGCUGCGACCGCAGGAGGCUGAGUGUGUCCUUCUUGCGACCCACGUCGACUGUGGUUUCUCUUUGCCUCCCCAUCCUUUCUCUCGAGGUUUUCUGAACUUUUUUGGAGCCGAACUUCAUCACUUUUCUCCCAACACCAUCACAUACCUUGAUGCAUACGUGUCCAUGUGCGAGAACUUUCUGGGCUGUCGACCGCACUGGGGUCUCUUCAAACACAUUUUCACCUAUCGUUCUCAGUCUAUAAAAAAGGCCAAUCCGAGUGACGAGAGGACACACGUGAUCCAGAUGUGUGGAGGUCUAGGGAUCCAGAUGAGGAAUAAAAGUACUUUCCCUGCUAUGAUUCUUCCUUAGUCAGUCAGAGGCUGGCAAUCGACCUAGUUCUAUUGUAAGGACCAACCGACCCCGGGCCAGUCGACUGACCUUCCCCCAUUUUCCAUAGGAUGAGUUGAGAAGCCUUCCCCCUUGAGAGUGACUCCAGCUGAGAAAGUGGAGGUGAAUAUGUUGGUUGAGCGGGUAGUCCAACUUGUCUGCGAUGGUGUGACAGGCAUGGACUUGCUAGAGGUGUUCCUUAGUCGACGCAUCCAGCCACUCCAAGCCCGUGACCAUCCAAUGUGAAUGUAUUCGGGUAUUUAAGACAGCACUCAGAUCCACCCGGAGGAAGUUGACAAGAAGGCGGUGGCACAGUGGCUGCAAGGUAUUACUGGCAACAAAGACAACCCUAGGGGGUCUAGGAGGGUUCCUCCACUCGACAACACCACCGAACCAGACAAGGUCUAACUCUUUUCUUCUGAGUGUCUUUUAUUCUGACAUGUAUUUGUUCUCGAAUCUGAUUGAUAUCCACUCGAUUCUAUGCCUUGCAGAUCUACACUGAGAUGUAUUCGAUGCCCAACGGAGAGCAGGAGCAGGAGGGAGAGGCGAGCGGGGGUGACAGCGGUGACUGGCACUCCGACGGAAGAGGAGACGAGGAGAAUGAAGACUCGAGCAGUGGCGAGGAGGUCGACUCUCCACCUCGCACGGAAAGACGCUCCAAGCAGAGGCAGGACCCAGCAAGUGUUCGUCACAAAGCCACUCCACCGACAUGAGAGACCUCGAAGCACACUCGAACAUCUUCUCCUGUGCCGACUGAGAAAGCUCUGAAGUAGCCCAAAGUCGCGUCGUCAAAGCCCCAGAAGGCCCUGCCCAAGAUCAAAGUGGUCGUUCCCAUCGCUUCUGGGUAAUUAUUGUGCUCGACCUCUUGGUUUUUGCAUGACUCGAUCUUUGGUCGAUUCACUUUCCUGUUGUAAACGAGUGAAUUCUGAAAUUUGCAGUGCUGCCUCUGGGACUUCUCUUUACCAAGAUGAUGAUGAUGAGGAGAUGGAAGAUGCAGUCACCUCCAACGCGGUAUAACUCUUUUCGUCUUGUCUUUACUUUAUCAUCCAUUUUGAUGGCCGACUGAACUCUUGCAAUUGAUUGCUUUGCAGCUCCACCCAAUGUUAUUGAACUUCCAGAUGACGACGAGGAUGUGCCACAGAGACCCAUGGGAAGGAGGGGCAGGACUUCGAGCAGGAAGGCACCAGCUAGAAAGACGCCCCAGUCGACGCUGGCGACGGAACCAGUGAUUCAGCAGUCCGGAGACCUGAACUGGGCUUCUGUUACUUUUGUUGUUCCAGUGUCCGGUGAACGCCCUUCAUCGUCGACUGCACAAGUCCCUGUUUCGUCUAUCCAACACCACGUCUCGGAUCCUCAGGCUACCGCGACUGAACCACCGUCUCCGAUGUUCGUCACCCAUCAUGUUCCGGAAGACCAGGCAAGCGCUGCUACAGAAGCCAUACGCCAAGUAGGCCUGAUGAUGGAGCAGAUGAAGACAGUGCACCCGACCAGCCAAGCUGCUUAUGAUGCCAGUGCAGCCCUCCAAGCCAAUGUCCAGGUUAGUUGGUUUCCGGCUAAUCUCCUAGCUUGACUCUUGUUCUGUUAGGAUAUGCUACCUGAAACCUUUUCAUUGUGCAUCCAUUUGUCAACUUGUACUUCGCAUCUGUACACCCACUGGGUGUUUCAAUUUAUGUCGAGCAGUUUUUCCAGUUGAGUUGACUAGGUUGUGUUGAUUGUAACUUUGGACUAGUGGGGGCACACAUAGUGCACCCACUGGGUGUAGUCCCCGAGGCCGCCGUUGAAUGUGUGAUUUGGCGGGGGUCUUGAUGAAAAUAUUUUGUUCUUCAGUUCUUUCACUUAGUCUGGGCGGACCAUGUCGAGUGGAACCUGAACCAGUGGGGGCAUGCUGAGUGCACCCACUGGGUGUAGUCCCCGAGACCGCAGUCGACUGCGAGCAGUCGAUUGUGGUCUGAGAAUAACUGUUGCCUCUUCUUUCUUUUCUUUUUUUCCUUCCACUUGGUCUAGGCGGACCAUGUCUAGUGGAACCUGGACCAGUGGGGGCACACUAAGUGCACCCACUGGGUGUAGUCCCCGAGACUACUAUUGAAUGUUUGAUUUUGCAGUAGUCUUAGAAUUCUUUUCACUCGAAAGAGAAUAAUCUUUGAUUCUGUCCACUGAUGUAUCUCUUUACUCACUUUAGGAAUCAUGUGAGCUCAUCUACAAAUUUGCCAAAUUCGAGGAGAAGCAGAGACAGCUCAACCUUGACUUGGAGUUGGCCAAGCAGAACUUGUAGAAGGCCAAAGACGAAAUAGCUGGUAUGGAAGGUAAAAAACUUGUCGACUGUAGGAUUGGGCUGUCUCUCAAGUCAUCUCCUCGUUCUUCUCUUUGAACCGAGUGCUUGUUUGUUGUAUAUGUAUAUUUUUUAGAGAAAAUGAGGCAGGCGCUGGCACAGAAGGACCUUGAUCUUGCCGCAGCACAGAAGGAGGCUCAGGAGAAAACAACACUCCCUAAUAAGAAGCUGGCCUCAGUCGGGGCGCUAGAGGAAGACAAUGCCAAGCUGAAGACUGCUCUCGCCGAAGCUAAUAGAGAAGUGACCCAUCUAAAGAAGGACAAGGUAGCUUUGAACGCCAAGAUUGAAGACAUUUCUCAUAAGAGAAAUGAUCUGGAGGCUUAUCUGGGGGAACUCGCCAAGAAGUUAUUCCUUAUGCUUGAAGGUAUCUUUCCUUGUCCGACUGUUUUGCUAUCGUCAAUUCAUCAUAAAAGUCGUCAACUCAUUAGUUCUUUGUGGUUGUAGAAUUCUGUCAAAACUUUGAGGAAGAAACUAGGCGAAUUGAGACAAGCUUGGACCCCAUCAAUUCUCCUGUCAAGGAUGAAGUUUCCAUGGACGUGCUUCGACUGGAAUCCCGCCUUACCAGCAUUACGGACUACCUCGCUCGAUUGAAGGUUGCGGUGUCGCGGAUCGACACGACACUUUGGCCAAAGCAGACACUCCAAAAUGACCUCGAGUCUUUGAUGACUCGACUCAAUGAGAUCCAUGGUCAAGUGCAGGAAUGGAAGAAAUCAUCUGCUCGAUGUGGUGCUGAUGUAGCUCUGUCUCUUGUCCGCGUCCAUUGCAAGGAGGCCAAAGAAGAGAAGUUAGCGGCGAUCAAGGUUGCCAACACCAAGAGAUUUGACUUCCAGUCUUUUAUGGAGACCUUCAUUGCUGCUACUACUCGAAUUGCAGAUGGAAUCGACCUGGAUGAGUUCGUCGAGCCUACCAGUCCUCCUCCAAUGGAGUGAACAAACUUUUUAUGAUCCGAUUAAAUUUGCCUCGGUAUGCCGAGUGGUUUUGUAACUGUUAAACUCCUUCGGGCCUGGUGCCCGAGUACUUUAAUCUGCGGUCCGGAACCUCAUAGGAUUUAUCUGAACUUUGUUUCUUUUGAAUCUCUUGACUCUAAGUGGAACUUGAUUCUUCAGUCUGAAUUGUUACUGACUCUGUGAUGCAGCUCUGUUGAGUGGAUCAUAGACAAAGGCACUUGGUGCCGUCCAUGACCUGCACCUCGUCGUCCUUGUGGAUCAGGAUGGAGCGCACACUGUACUUGUGCCGCAGCUCUGAGGAUAAGGUCACAGUCGACCUGCACCUCAUCGUCCUUGCGGACCAGGAUGGAGCAUGUUUUAAAAUUAGGCGAGUACGGGACUGCAGCUAAGCCCCCGAGUGGGAGGAUUGCUCUCCACUCGGUAGGAUUUUUUUAAAACUUAGGCGAACACGAGACUACAGCUAAGCCCCCGAGUGAGAGGGUUGAUCUCCACUCGGUAGGAUUUUUUAAACUUAGGCUAGUACGAGACUGCAGCUAAGCCUCCGAGUGUGAGGGUUGCUCUCCACUUGGUAGGAUUUUUUAAAAAACUUAGGCGAAUACGGAACUGCAGCUAAGCCCCCGAGUGGGAGGGUUGCUCUCCACUCGGUAGGAUUUUUUAAACUUAGGUGAGUACGGAACUGCAGCUAAGCCCCCGAGUGGGAGGGUUGCUCUCCACUCGGUAGGAUUUUUUUAAACUUAGGCGAGUACGGAACUGCAGCUAAGCCCCCGAGUGGGAGGAUUGCUCUCCACUCGGUAGGAUUUUUUAAAACUUAAGCGAAUUAGAUUCAUAGCUAAGCCCCCGAGUGAGAGGCUUGCUCUUCACUUGAUAGGAUUUUGUUUUUGAAACUUAGGCGAAUCGGAUUCGUAGCUAAGUCACCCGCUAGGGGAUUUUGGACACAUGUAUAAGUAAUAACAAUCAUUUAAGAGACUGUAAAACCAUGUCUUUGAUAAACAAACUGAAAGGUACUUAUUACAUCUCGACGGUCUGAAUGCUUAAGUAUUAAAAUGGCGGAGAAGCUCCGCAUUCCAAGCGCGUGGCUCAUCUUUCUUGUGUUCCACAUCGUACAGGUGGUAUGCUCCAUUGUGGAGCACUUUGGUGAUGAUGAAGGGGCCUUCCCAGGCGGGAGCAAGCUUAUGUGAUCGUUGCUGAUCCACUCGGACAACCAGGUCCCCUUCCUGAAAUGCUCGACCUCUUACAUUCCUAGCAUGGAACCGACGAAGGUCUUGCUGAUAAAUGGUCGACCUGAUCAGGGCCAUCUCUCUUUCUUCUUCCAAAAGAUCAACAACAUCUUGUCGGGCUUGUUCUGCUUCUGCCUCUGAGAAAAGCUCCACUCACGGGGCAUUAUGGAGUAAAUCAGUCGGCAGCACGGCCUCAGCUUCAUAAACCAUGAAGAAGGGAGUCCGGCCAGUCGACCGAUUUGGCAUUGUUCUCAGACCCCACAAUACUGAUGGUAACUCAUCUACCCAGGCACCAGCCGCAUGCUUGAGGUCGCGCAUCAAUCUGCGCUUCAACCCUUGUAAGAUCAAACCAUUUGCUCUUUCUGCUUGUCCGUUCGACUGUGGGUGAGCGACUGAAGCAUAGUCGACCCGGGUGCCCUGGGAAGCACAUAAAGCUCUGAACUCAUCUGAAUCAAAAAUUGAACUAUUGUCUGUGAUGCUGCUGCACGAGACUCCAUAUCUGAAUGUUAACUCUGUGAUGAAGCUGACGGCGGUUCUCGAAUCAAGGUUCUUGAUGGGUUUGGCUUCAAUCCAUUUAGUGAACUUGUCGACUGCAACAAGCAGGUGGGUGAGACCACUUCUGCCAGUCCUCAAGGGUCCAACCAUAUCCAACCCCCAAACAUCAAAUGGCCAGACGAGUGGAAUGGUCUUCAAAGCUGAAGCGGGCUUGUGAGACAUGUUGGAAUAGAACUGGAAGCACUCACACUUGUCGACUAUUUCUUUUGCCAUUUCAUUCGCUCGUGGCUAGUAAAAACCUGCUCGGUAUGCUUUGGCCACGAUUGUCCGAGAGGACGCAUGGUGACCACAUGUCCCCGGGUGGAUAUCAUUGAGGAUCAUUCGACCUUCUUCUGGGGUAAUGCAUUGUUGAGCAACUCCAGUCACACUCUCCAUAUAUAGUCGACCACUUAUCAUAGUGAAGGCUUUGGAUCGACGGUCGAUCUGUCGUGCUUCAUCUUUGUCUUCUAGAAGUUCUUUCCUGAUAAUAUAUGCGAUAUACGACACUGUCCAGUCAGGAAUGACAACCAAAACCUCCAUGAUUAAGUCGACCAUAGCUGGGAUUUCAACUUCAGUCGGAUCAGUAGAACUCUUAGGUUGCGGGGGCUCUUCUGUGAAGGGAUCCUCUUGAACUGACGGUGUGUGUAGAUGUUCUAAGAACACAUUGUCGGGAAUGGGCUCCCGCUUGGAACCUAUGUUUGCCAGGUCAUCCGCUGCCUGGUUCUUCAGUCGGGGAAUAUGGUGGAACUCUAGCCCUUCAAACUUCUUUUCUAACUUUCUCACUGCAUUGCAAUAACCGGUCAUAGCUGGGCUUCUGACGUCCCACUCCUUCAUCACUUGAUUGACCACAAAAUCUGAGUCGCCGUAGACCAUUAGGCGACGGGCGCUGAGUGAAAUGGCCAUUCGCAACCCAUACAGAAGUGCUUCGUAUUCAGCAUCAUUGUUGGAGGAAUCAAAGUUAAUCUGAAGGACAUAAUUGAGUUUGUCACUUUGCAGGGAUACCAGAACUACUCCAGUGCCAGAACCAUUCAACAUCUUGGAUCCAUCAAAGAACAUAGUCCAAUGUUCUGAGUGAACUUGAGUCGGUUGCUGUUGUUCGAUCCACUCGACAAGGAAAUCUGCUAUUGCCUGGGACUUGAUUGCUUUCUUUGCCUCAAACUUGAUAUCCAACGGAAGGAGUUCAAUCGCCCACUUUGCCACUCGACUAGUUGCAUCUCUGUUGUUCAGAAUUUCUGACAAUGGAGCAUCACUAACGACCGUGAUAGAGUGAUCUGAGAAAUAAUGUGCAACCUUCUUCGUGGUCAAGUAAAUUCCAUAGACAAGCUUCUGAUAAUGCGGAUAUCUUUGCUUGGACGGAGUUAAGACCUCAGAAAUAUAGUGCACUGGGCGCUAAACCUUAUAGGAUUUACCUUCUUCUUCCGGCUCGACCGUGAGUACUGUACUGACAACUUGUCCAGUGGCUGCAAUAUAAAGCUGUAAAGGCUCUUUGAUGAUUGGAGCAGCGAGCACCGACUGGGUGGAGAGCAGGGUUUUGAGCUUUGCAAACGCUGCAUCAGCUUCAGGAGUCCACUCGAACUUAUCGGAUUUCUUCAUCAAUCGGUAAAGAGGCAACGCCUUUUCGCCGAGAUAAGAGAUGAAUCGACUCAAAGUGGCCAAACAACUAGUAAGCUUCUGAACAUCGUGUAUGCGCACAGGGCAUUUCAUUCAGAGUGUUGCACCAACUUUCUCUGGGUUUGCAUCGAUACCAUGUUCAGAAACGAGGAAACUGAGUAACUUUCCACCUGGAACUUCGAAUGUACACUUCGACGGGUUAAGCUUGAUAUCAUAUCUUCUCAGAUUGGCAAAGGUUUCAGCGAGGUCAGUCAGCAGGUCGGAACCUUUACGCGACUUAACCACGAUGUCAUCCAUGUAUGCUUCAACAUUCUGACUGAUUUGAGUGACCAGGCACUUCUAUAUCAUGCGCAUGAAUGUGGCACCAGCAUUCUUGAGACCAAAAGGCAUAGUAACAUAGCAAAAGCACCCAAAUGGGUGAUAAAAGCUGUUUUUAUUUCAUCGGGUCCAUACAGUCGGAUCUGAUGGUACCCGGAGUACGCGUCUAGAAAGGACAAUCUCGCACAUCCCGCAGUCGAGUCGACUAUUUGGUCGAUGCGGGGGAGAGGGAAGUGAUCUUUCGGGCAGGCCUGAUUGAUAUGCUUGAAGUCAAUACACAUACGGAGUGAAUCAUCUUUCUUGGGAACCAUGACGACGUUGGCGAGCCACUCGGAGUGGUAAAUCUCUCGGAUGAACUCAGCUGCCAGAAGCCGAGCCACUUCCUUGCCAAUUGCCUUUCUUUUCUCCACGGCAGACCGUUAGAGAUGCUCUUUGACAGGUUUUGCUUUUGGGUCGACUCGCAAACGGUGCUCAGCCAGUUCUCUGGGUACACCUGGCAUGUCAGAAGGUUUCCAUGCAAAGAUGUCCCAGUUCUCACGGAGGAACUGGAUGAGCGCUUCUUCCUAUUUGCUGUCGAGUGUUGUUGAAAUAUGAGUCGGAGCAACAUUGGGAUCAGUCGGGUGAAUAUGAACUGACUUUGUUUCACCAGACGACUUAAAUGCAGAUUCUGAAGCAGGCUUCUUAGCUCUCAACAAAUCACUCAGAUCUGUAGUCUUCUUGUAUUCUUCCAUUUCUACUGCUGCCAUCUGUUCAUCGGCAAUCUUCGAGCCUUUUUGGAAGCACUCUCCUGCUCGCUGCCGAUUACCAGUGACUAUAAUCACACCCCUAGGGCCAGGCAUCUUGAGUUUGAGGUACACGUAACAUGGCCGAGCCAUGAAACGAGCAUACGCAGUUCUGCCCAGGAUAGCAUGAUAGGCACUGUGAAAAUCCACAAUUUCAAAUGUCAACUUUUCAUUAUGGCAAUUCUUUGAAUCACUGAAAACCACGUCAAGAAUGAUCUGGCCGAGUGAAUCGGCUUUCUUUCCAGGUAUAACUCCAUGGAACCGCAUGUUGCUCUCGCUGAGUUUGGACAUCAGAAUGCCCAUCCCUCGAAGGGUCUCAACAUACAAAAUGUUCAAACCACUGCCGCCAUCCAUAAGGACUUUGGUCAAUCAGGUGCCCCCAAUGACCGGGUCGAUCACCAAUGCUUGCCUCCCGGGGGUGGCUACAUGCGGCGGGUGGUCAGACUGGUCGAAUGUGAUGAGAGUCUUUGACCAUUUCAAAUACGUCGUCGUUGCCGGAGCAACCAUGUUUACUUCUCUACUAAUGACUUUUAGUCGACUUUUACUUUCAAUGUCAGCGAAAAUCACCAAAGUGGAAUUGACAUUGGGGAAUCCUUCAUCAUCCUCUUCCUUGUCCUCAUCCUUAUCAGAUUCCUUCUCUUUCUCACUGGGUUGUUUUUCUCUCGGAACUGUUGUAUAAGGACUUGACACUGUCGAGUGGUAUGUUUGGGAUAAAUCAUAUUACCCUCUUCAUCCUUCUUGAUGUGAAUGUGACAUGGUAAAUCCAACACGUCGUUCCCUGCUGAAUCUUUUACCUUCUUGGGGAUCUAGGGCCCUUUAGGCUUUCCCUUAAAUUUUCCUUGGGUUGUGGCGGCAACCUCUCCAGGAGCCGCAGGCUCCGCUUUGCGCUUCUACUUCCGAUUGGAAUUACCUCCUCCAGUAUCCUGGCCGACUAGUUUACCCUUGCUGCUGCGGAGUCGGUCUUCUUCUUUGCCGUUUGCGUACCGAGUGGCUAUUUCCAUCAUUCGGGUCAGGGUCAUGUCUCCUAUCCGACCGAAUUUCAGGUUAAGCUCUCUAUACCGAACGCCCUCCUUGAAGGCGCAAACUGCUUGAUGCUGAGACACAUUCUCCACAUUGUGAUGCAAAGUGGUCCAUCUCUAGAUGUAAUCCCUCAAAGUUUCAUUCGGUUUUUGCACACAAUGCUGCAACUCUGUCAACCCUGCAGGUCAUUAGCAUGUGCCCUCGAAUGUUCUGACAAACACUCGGGCUAACUCCUCUUAGCUGAAUAUACUGCCUGGAGCCAACUGAUUCAACCAAGCUCUAGCUGACCCUUCAAGCAUCAGGGGAAGGUGUUUCAUGGCCACCUCAUGGUUUCCACCUCCGAUCUAAACAGCCACUCGGUAAACCUCAAGCCAAGUGUCAGGCUUCGAUUCACCAGUGAACUUACUAACUCCAGUCGCCAACCUGAAGUUAGGGGGAUCUCUGCAGCCCUGAUGGCUCUGCUAAAACACUCGGGGCCAAAAACAUGCACUCUGCUUCCAGUCGAGCGAUCUCUGUCCUGCCCUUCUCUGUGUGCUCGAUUCCUGUCCACUAGACCUUGUACCAGAAUUGACCUCGCAUCAAACCCUGACUCCCUUGGGUCGACUGGCAUCCCCCGCUCCUCGUUGUACGGGCGCCUAUCAUCAUAAUGCCGGGGCACGUAUGAUCCACCCCUUGGAGGGGGCGUAGGCACUCGACGAUGGUCAUCACGGUCGAGAUGAUGAUCGUGCUGCUCAUGGUUCUGAGCCAGGUACUGCCCUUGACGAUGCCCUCGCCCCUCACAUCACGGAGGCGAUCUUGGGCUAUGAGCCGACUGAACUGUGUCAGCCACCACAGAUCUGCUAUGAAUUCUGUUACGUGGCUGAGAUACUACAGUGUUCUGCUCUCCGGCUGCUCGGAGCAGCGCUCUGAUCUGCAUCAAACCUCUACCAGCUUCCGACUGGGACUGUUGAAUAGACUCUGCUAUGCUGGCUGUAGCUGUAAGGUUCUGGAUCGGAGUGCGGUAUACCUGUGGUUCAGGCAGGAACAGAUGCCACUGACUGGAUUCGGGGAUCUGCCACCGAGCACGCUCAUCGAGUGCAUGCUGAAGGUUCUCCAGUCGAGUGCGCUCAGUCAAAGUGGCCAAGCACGCUGCCUCCAAGGCCCGAGCCUCAGAGGUCUCUCCAACAACGGGCGUGUGGAGCGCCUCCAUAUUGCGGCGGUGAAGUUCCUCCCUCUACUGAGAAGAGAGGGUUUUGGGGUGGUACUCCUCAUGAACGCGCGACGGAUCGUCGCCGCCGUCGUCGCCGCCAUUGCGAUGCAUGCCAGGCAGGCUGCAUGGCGUGCCGACCAUCAGGACCUCCGCUGCGGGGUCACUGCUGUCGCACUCGGAUAGGGUCUUGACGGAGCCAGUCGACAGAUCGAACAGGCCAUAGAGAGAUUCAUCGGGCUCGAUUGCCGCGACUUGAGGGGUGGCCGACUAACGUGCCACCGCAUGCUUCACCCACCGCUGAAGCCGUGACCGACCAGACUGCUUGCGACGGGGAACAAUAGGGAGCGAAGACACCGCGGGAGCCAACCGAUACUGGGUCGACGGCUGCCGCAGAAGGACGCCACGAACGCACGCACGAAAGUGCGUCGCUCCACAGACGGGGAGUGUCUCGACGUCGAGGGGAGCUUCUUGAAGCCAAGCGGAGUCGUUGGCGAUGAAGACAAGCGCGCCGAGAUGGAUCUCGCGGCCCUCAGCCAAACCUCCACCGGAAACCAUGAUGAUAGGACUCGGAAAAAUUGCAACCUCAUCGAAAAGUCGCUAAGACACCGGCCCCACGGUGGGCGCCAAUUGUCGUGGUUCUAAGUCUGACAGUAGAAUGGGGGGCAGGUAUGAGGAGGCAAGAUCCUAGCUACGGUGAAGUUGUGCACGCAAGAUUUAUGAGUUCAGGCCAUCCUCAGAGGAAGUAACAGCCCUACGUCUCGGUGCCCGGAGGCUGGUCGAUUGGAUUAUGCGUGAAGUUACAGGGGGUGCGAACCCUUGUCUCAGAGGAGGGGGGUGGCUUACAUAGAGUGUGCCAGGACCCCAGCCAUCCCCCGUUACAUAGAGUUCAAUGUACAUAAAGAGGGGACGUUACUGGUAACGCCAGCAUUAAAGUGAUAUAAAUGAUCUUUAAGACUACGGAGUGAACGUCUGACCGUUGCUAUCCAGAGUGACCUUAGAUCUUCCAUACUCCGAGUGGUUUCUGAUGUGGUCGAAUGAUUAUAUCCUAGUCGAAUGGAAUUGGGUUGUCCGAGUGGAACCCAUGGUCGAGUGAGUUGCACCCUGAGGUGAUUUCAGUCGGUAGGAUUUGCUGUCCUUUGAAUGUCUUCGACUGUAGGGCAGUGUCCUUGGGGAGGGUGCUUAGAUCAGGUCUAUUGCCCUACCCUAGAUACAUAUCAUCGUCAAACAUCACUGAGCUGAAUGUAUGCUGAACGCGGAGGCGACGUACGUUCGGUACUCGAUCGGUUGGAUCAUGAAGAAGUUCGACUACAUCAAUCGCGUUACUAAACGCUUCCGCUUACGGUCUACGAGGGUACGUAGACACACUCUCCCCUCUUGUUGCUAUGCAUCUCCAUGCAUAGAUCUUGCGCGUGGGUAGAAAUUUUUUGUUUUAUUCAACAUUCCCCGACAGGCUCUGAAUAUAGUGGUAGGGUGUCACCUCCGGUUGCUUGGGUGACGGAGCAGGCGACUCGCGUGGUGUGUGGCCUUAGGGUCGAAGUGUGUGUUGUUUUCGUUUCUAAGCCGGAGCGGCGGCUCCGGUGGUUGUAGGGUGUCGGCUCCGAUUGCUCGGGCGACAGAGAUGGCGGCUCGCCUGGUGCGCAACCUCGGGGUCGGCGUGGAUGCCAGAGUGACGGCUUCAUUUUGGUUGUAGGUUGUCGGUUUCAGGUUGCUAGGGAGAAUGAGCUCUCGGCUCGCCUGAUGCGCGCCCUUCGGGUCGGCGUGGAUGCCGGAUUUGCGGCUUCAUUUUGGUUGUAGGUUGUCGGUUUCAGGUUGCUAGGGUGAUGGAGCUCUCGGCUCACCUGGUGCGCGCCCUUCGGGGCAGCAUGGAUAUCAGAGUGGCGGCUUCGAUUUUGGUUGUAGGCUGUCGACUUUUCUAUACCUAUACUUAAUAUUAAAGGAUGGAUUGUUUCUCCAUUAUUUUUGGUCCAUCAAUGUUUUUAGUACGUUUUUGUUUUUCGUCCGUCCCCUGUUUUACAGGUUUUUAUUUUUCGACUACAUCAAUCGCGUUACUAAACGUUUCCGCUUACGGUCUACGAGGGUACGUAGACACACUCUCCCCUCUUGUUGCUAUGCAUCUCCAUGCAUAGAUCUUGCGCGUGGGUAGAAAUUUUUUGUUUUCCAUUCAACAUUCCCCGACAGGCUCUGAAUAUAGUGGUAGGGUGUCACCUCCGGUUGCUUGGGUGACGGAGCAGGCGACUCGCGUGGUGUGUGGCCUUAGGGUCGAAGUGUGUGUUGUUUUCGUUUCUAAGCCGGAGCGGCGGCUCCGGUGGUUGUAGGGUGUCGGCUCCGAUUGCUCGGGCGACAGAGAUGGUGGCUCGCCUGGUGCGCGCCCUUCGGCGUGGAUGCCAGAGUGGCGGCUUCAUUUUGGUUGUAGGUUGUCGGUUUCAGGUUGCUAGGGGGAUGGAGCUCUCGGCUCGCCUGGUGCGCGCCCUUCGGGUCGGCGUGGAUGCCGGAUUUGCAGCUUCAUUUUGGUUGUAGGUUGUCGGUUUCAGGUUGCUAGGGUGAUGGAGCUCUCGGCUCACCUGGUGCGCGCCCUUCGGGGCAGCAUGGAUAUCAGAGUGGCGGCUUCGAUUUUGGUUGUAGGCUGUUGACUUUUCUAUACCUAUACUUAAUAUUAAAGGAUGGAUUGUUUCUCCAUUAUUUUUGGUCCAUCAAUGUUUUUAGUACGUUUUUGUUUUUCGUCCGUCCCCUGUUUUACAGGUUUUUAUUUUUCGUCCGUCGCUGCUUUACAUUAAAAAAAUAAAACAAUUGCUCUCGCUUAGACUCGAACCACUGCCCUCUUAUGUGCAGCUGCAAUGGAACAACCAGCCCACCUAGACAUAGUGUUACUUGAAAAAAUAGAGGAAUAUUGCCUUAUAUAUAUGCUCGUCUCAAGCGCGCCCUAUUGAGCCGGCCCAUUAGUGGCGAGGGACUUCCCUUUUUCUUAUUUCGUUUUUCUAUUUUUAUUAUUUGAAAUAAUUUGAGAUUUCAGAAAGUUCCAAAUUUCAAAAGAAAAUGUGAAUAUUGAAAAAUGUCCUGGAAACCAUGCGUCCUAUUAGGCUGGCCCAUGAUCGGGGAGGGACGCCACUGUUUUCUUAUUUUUUUAUUUGUUUCUCCUUUAAAUAAUUUGGGAUUUCAAGAAAGUUUCAAAUGAAAAAGGAAAGUGAAUUUUGAAAAAUGUUUCAGUAGUAGUAAAAUGUUUAUGAAUUUAACAAAAAAAUUGUGAAUUCAAAACAUGUUCAUUAAAAGUUCAUCGGUUCAAAAAAUGUUUUGUUGAUUCAAAAUCUUCAUGCAUUAAAAAUAAUGUUCGUCAAACAAAAAAUGUUCAUUAAUUUCAAAAAAUGUUCACCCAUUCCAAAAAUGUGUGCCCAUUGAAAAAAUAUUCACAAGUUAUAAAAAUGUUCAUCCAUUCAAAAAUUAAUCAUCUUGCACCGUAAGAAAUUUUCCAGUUACUCACAACAAUAUUCAUCAAGAUACCGUCAACCUUUUAGAUUUUGUUGAUUGUUUUAUUAUUGUUGUUGGCUCCACGCAAUAUGAUCCGUGCAAUCCAUGGUCAUGAACCUGAUGUUGCAAACUCCGUCAUCGCCUCGAUGAGGUCAUUGAAUUUUUGCCCCGAUGUAAAAUUCGUGUCACUUUGUUGUCCUAAUCUCUUUUUUAUAUAUACUAAUUAAAUAUUAAUAUUAAAGGAAGAAAGGAUUCUUCCGUCCAAUUAUAGUUCCCGUUGUCAUCUAUCUACCAAUGUACCACACACCUCUUAUGUUUCUCCGAUGCGUGGGCCGAGCUAGGCUGCUCCACACUUUUUUCUUUCUUCGAUUCAAUUGUGGAGCAGUGAAAAAUAAUAUGUUUCUAUUUCUCUCCUACGUCGGCCAAGAUGGGCCUAUUCCGAAACAACCUUUUCUUUUUCUUUUUUCUCAUUUGAUUGUGGCAUGGAGGCGAAAAUGAAACUAUGAAGCCGCAAACUGAAAUGUGAUCAUUUUGCAAAGAUGGUAUGAUUGAAAGCAUAAUUCUUUUUUAUAUUGGGAAUAAUUGUCGUGGAUCAUAAAUUAAAUAAUGGUUUAUAUAUUAGUCUAUGCUAGGGAAGUUAAAAAUUUCCCGUUGCAACGCACUGGCAUUUUUGCUAGUUAAUGAAUAAAGAAGAAGAUGGUCGUAAAAAAUAUAUUAUAAGAGACAUAUUUUUUUUUUCUUUUCCUACUACAACUCGACUGACCAGUUUGAGAGAAUGUGGCGAACCACACACUCUAUGGUUGGACGGUCAGGAGGAUAAUGAUAUUCUCAACUCACUAGAGUUUAAGUCCUCGACUUGAUAUUGGUGUUUGUAUUUUUCCUGUAUUUAUUUCAGGCCUUCUGACGAUGUGCAUUUAGUGGGAGGAGAUGUUUGCGUCGAUUACAAAGGCGUAUGGGACGGCUUCGUCAAUUUUCCCAGUCUCACCAAAGUGCUCAUAGUGUUAGGGUGUGCUAUAUACUGUGUUAGAAAAACACACUUCUUUUCGCAAAUUAUAUAAAAAUACAACUUUUUUCUUUUCUUUUCCUACUACUAGGCUAGCACACAAGUCGACCGACCGUGUGGGGCUGUGGGCUGUGGCGGCCAGCUUGAGAUCGCGUUAAGCUCGUUCCGAUCCAGACAGCGUCGCGUGUCCCACUCCGUCAUCCUCUCGUGAGUCCCCAACGCGGCGAAGUAUCUCUCCGCUCACCGGGCCCCGGCCGCAAUCUCUAGUCUCGUCUCUCCAACGCGACAACUUCCAACUCCCCCCAAAUUUCUUCACCUCGAAGCAAUUUCCCCCAACCCCUGACCCCGAUCCCCUCCUCCCUCCCCUCCGGCCACCGCGCCCCGAUGGCGGCCAACGUCAUGCUGGCGAUCCACGAGAAGAAGGCCGCGGCCGUCGACCUCUACCGCCCGCUCCGCCAGUACAUCGCCUCCGCCUACUCCGAGCGCGACGCGGCCACCGCCGACGACGACCUCUGCGCCGUGCGCGACCUCCGCGCCGCGCUCCUGGCCUACGCCCGCGCGCUCGCCCUCGUCGAGCCCCGCUUCCCCAUCUCCCCCGACCGCGCCCACGUCCACUCCCUCUCCUUCACCUGGCACGACGCCUUCAAGACCAACAAGAAGGUCGGCCUGCCCUCCGUCCACCUCGAGAAGGCCGCCGUGCUCUUCAACCUCGGCGCCGUCUNNNNNNNNNNNNNNNNNNNNNNNNNNNNNNNNNNNNNNNNNNNNNNNNNNNNNNNNNNNNNNNNNNNNNNNNNNNNNNNNNNNNNNNNNNNNNNNNNNNNNNNNNNNNNNNNNNNNNNNNNNNNNNNNNNNNNNNNNNNNNNNNNNNNNNNNNNNNNNNNNNNNNNNNNNNNNNNNNNNNNNNNNNNNNNNNNNNNNNNNNNNNNNNNNNNNNNNNNNNNNNNNNNNNNNNNNNNNNNNNNNNNNNNNNNNNNNNNNNNNNNNNNNNNNNNNNNNNNNNNNNNNNNNNNNNNNNNNNNNNNNNNNNNNNNNNNNNNNNNNNNNNNNNNNNNNNNNNNNNNNNNNNNACGUCAUGCUGGCGAUCCACGAGAAGAAGGCCGCGGCCGUCGACCUCUACCGCCCGCUCCGCCAGUACAUCGCCUCCGCCUACUCCGAGCGCGACGCGGCCACCGCCGACGACGACCUCUGCGCCGUGCGCGACCUCCGCGCCGCGGCCGUCGAGAGCCCCUCCCUCCCGGACUCCUCCUCCCUCGAGCAGCGCCGCGCCGCGCUCCUGGCCUACGCCCGCGCGCUCGCCCU
This 49746-nucleotide long non-coding RNA is filed under the name Triticum aestivum (bread wheat). Its description in RNAcentral is "long non-coding RNA (TAES_LNC021292)". Lineage: Eukaryota; Viridiplantae; Streptophyta; Magnoliopsida; Poales; Poaceae. The record is from RNAcentral.